UUUAUCAAUUAAUAAGAUAAUUGUUUUCUUAUGUGAUAAUUGAUUAAUUAUUUUGAUUAAAUUGGUAAAUUGUUUUGCAAGAAAUCAUUAAAUAAAUCAAAUAUGGAUAAUUAUGUGAUUAAUUGUUAAUUUAGAUUAUUUGUUAUUUGAUCCUUGUUGUUAUGAAAAGUUUCAUAUUUUCCCCUUUAGGUUUUAUAGUUUAAAUUUGAACCCAAAAGUUUUGUUGUUUUGAAAUUUAAAUAGUUGAAACCCUAAUGUUUUGAAAAAGGUUUCAAAACUUGCCCUCAAGUUUUGGAAUUUAAAUUUUGAUUAAAUGGUUUAAUUUUGAUGUAUAUUUAAAUUCUAAACCCUAAUGUGUUGAAAUGUUUCAAAACUUGCCCUCAAGUUUUGGAAUUUAAAAGUUGAUUAAAAGUUUAAUUAGGAAUGUUAAAUUCUAAAACUCUAGUAUAGUUUUGAAAAAGUUCAAAUCACACCCUUAUGGUUUUAUUAAUUAAUUAAGGUGUAUAAUUAAAAGAGGUUUAAUAAAUCCAUAAAAGUUUAGGUUUACAAUUUAAUUGAAUUAAAAGUAUAAUUGUUAAAUUUGACCACCUAGUAUUUUAAAAGUGUAAAAUACACCCUAUACUAUAUAUAACAUUAAAAGUCUAACAUUAUAUAUAUGUAUGAGUAAAAGUCAGUCUUACCGUUAGUAGGCCUCAUUCACGAAGCUGGUCUAUAAGGGGUGUUUAAGGAAAUUGCCUAUAAAAUGGCGAUUGAAUGGGUAUCCACUCUUACCCACCGCACUCUUGACUAGUGGAGGGUCGUUAGCCGAACGGGUAGGAUAGGACGAAACCUUCCAUUAUAAGUAUAAUGAAGUAUAAAAGUAACUAAAUGUUUUCAUAAAAUUCCCAAUCUUAGUUACUUAGGCAAAAGUGAAUUGAUGCAAUUCCAUGAAAUUACACUUUGUGCCCUUGCGAAGACGUUAGUGGAGCGUGUGUGGUUUACCGGCACACUAAAUGGUUCUAAGCAAAGGUAGCAAAGGGUGACUCAAUGUUUGUCAUAGUUCGGUGGAGCGUGUGUGGUUUACCGGCACAUCGAAUAGGUGACUGUAACAUGUGAGGGCACCAUGUAAGUUUGCAUGGUUAUUCACACCCGCUUUGUGAUCCUCGGCAUCCCAGUCACAAACAAGAGGGGCAUAUCGAGAUUUAAACAUGCCAUUGAAAUGUUCAAUGAAUCUCAAAGGAUCUAGGAGUUUUCAUAGAUUUAAAACUUAAAUUUCUUUUUCGUUUUUCAUGGUGGAAAUUAGUGAAUCGUCAUUCACUUACCUUCAAAUGUUCUGCAAUUUGGGUUACGGCAUCCCUCUCCCGAGUUGUAGAAUAUUGUGUUGGGUCCUAGCCUUAGUAUCUCAUUUGGGUGAUUUACUAAGGACUCAAUCAAUCAACUAACUUGAAUUCGUUUUCUCCCGUUUUGUAGAUGUCAAAGUUCGACAACUAUGGUCUUCCCAAAUCCCGUGGAACAAGCUUUCCACAUGAAGAUGAUAUUCCACGAUUCGAUCGAGGAACAAGAAAUCAUGCUUCACUUCCUCCACCUCCUCCAAUUAUUCUCCCUAACCCACAAGUUCAAAGGCUUGAAAAGUUCAAGAUCACUCAAGCCCUUUUGGCAAGUAAACAUAAAGAAGGAAAGUCGGUGUGUGCACACGUCCUAGGGAUGAAGUCACACAUUGAUAGGUUAAGAAUGUUGGGAUCCGUUGUCUGUGAGGAAAUGGCUGUUGAUUGGGUUCUUCAGUCACUUCCUAACUCAUAUAGUGAGUUCGUAAGAGAGUACUAUAUGAUGAACCGCGACGUGACCCUUAUAGAUCUCACCUAUAUGCUUAUUGCUGCUGAAUCAGCAAUGGUUUGGCGCAAUAGAAAAGCAAAGUUGAUUGGUGAAUCUGCCUUCAAGACCUCUAUGGAUAUAGACAAUGGCAACGAAAGACAUGCUAUGAUCGAAAAGUUUGAUCAUAAGAGAAAGGCAAUGUCUGAAGUAGUUCCAUGUCAUGUUCCAAAAGAGUCAAUUUGCUUUUAUUGCCAAGAGAAAGGGCAUUGGAGACGAAGCUGCCCCAUUUACCUAAGAGAUCUAAGAGAUGGGAGAGUCGAAACGUAUGGCUCUAAUAUAGGUAAAAUCCAUUAACUAACUCUUUUAAGCUUCUAUUCUAGAUUCUUAAUACAUAAUGUGAUAAGAUUACAAUUGAUGUUUUGUAGGAUCGAAGAAAAGAAAGGAAGCUUAAGGGAAGAAGUGAGCAGAAUCUAACCGUGAAGGAAUGGAUUUCGAUCGCAUUUCUCGAAGAUUAGAUUCUUGAGCUACUACUUAGAGUUAGAAUUAGAUUGCUAAGAAAGAUGUAUUAGCAUAAGUUUUUCAAUGAAUUGCAUUGUAAGGACAAAUUUUUCCGCAAUAAAAUAAAUUUUGAUUUUAAAUUUUAUUUAUUUAUCCUUACAAUGGCGUGUAUGAAAAAUUGAUGUUAAAAUGUUUCUAUUAUUAGCAAUAAUGGAUUUGGUUCUUAUUAUGUUAUUUAUGGAAAGUCGAGAAUUUACCAAAUAGGGAGAGUUUCUCAUCGCCCAAGUUUCAAUUGGACAGAAACUUGGAAUCAUGCAACUUGGUUGCACGAUGAAUGAGAAAUUUCAUAUUUGGAAAUUAGACUAAUUCAUUGACAAAGUGUCAAGUGAAGGACUAGGAGAUCGAGUACACAAAGUUGCGUGUUGAUCAAGUCCACCAUAAGAGUAACAAAGAUAUUCGUCAUGAUUUACUAAAGGUUUAGUAAAUAUGAUUAUACUUAUAAGAUUAAGUGUAAUUCUGAAUUGAUUGAAAAGGUUUAAAUCAAUAGCAGAACGAAUAAGAAGAAUCAAGUAGGCAGAAAGAUAAAAGUUUCUCCAUUCUAAGAAGAAGGGAGAGUACCUUUUAUGCUUUAUGAUAGGUCUUAAUGAUUAAGAACCAUAUCUCAAUUGAUCCUCUAAGUGAGUCUUAGUACAAUUGUAUGUCUAAGAAGAGGAAUCAAGAAUUGAAGAAAUGGUUAAAUCAAUAAGUCAAUCAUACUUCGUUCCAAUAACAAGUCUUAAAGUUAAGAUUGUGACAUUGAGUGAAAGGUAUUAAGAAGGUUUAUAACAUUCAUUAAAUGUGGAAAGUUGUGAUGUCUUGGAUAAGACAAAGACCAACUAGGACCAAUUUAUGAAGUGUUUUGAUAAAAGCUACACUAACUCUUGAAUAUUUGUUUGUCAAGAAAUGGUUAUUGACAAGAGAAUCUUAUAUGUCAAGGAGUCAGUGGGAGUCUUAAUGGUCUUGAAAGGUUUCAAGAACAAAUCAAAUAAACCUUAUCGAUCAUCACUAGCACACGAGUUGAGGUUUACAACCUAUCGUGUUGACAUUAUUUUGAUUCUGUGCCAAUCCAAUCGAGUUAAUUAUGCAUGUGAGUUCUAUGAGUUCUCAUUUUGAACGCAUAAAAGGCAAAGCACCUUAAUCAAUGAAAGGUACAUUGAUAGGAAAGGGUGAGCUGCUUAACUACUUGGAAGACAUGGUGGGCAGCUGUGCUACCAUAAGGCAAGAAAUCAAGAUUAAGAAAGUUCGGUCCAUAUGAGUUUGAAUUUGUCGUAAACUUUGGUUUUAACAAAUUCACAUGGAUAGGAACACAUACACCGUUUAAAUCUAAGUGUCAUAAGAUUUCCUCCUUCAUGAAAAUGAUUGUGAGGAAAUGCUUUCACUAAGAAAGAUUUUAAGAAGAUAGUGAUUGUAAAAUUGCAUUCUCGAAUUCGAUUAUGGUUACGGUAUCCCUUUCCAUAAUUUGAAUUGUGAGGUUUGGCAAUUAGUCUUAAUUGUUUAGACACACAUAUGAACUAUCGAAGGCAAAGGUGUAUAAGUUCAAGAAGCCUUGAUAAAAGAUUAUCAAAGCACUAAGUAUUAGAAACAUGAACUUAAGAAAUUCAAUAAGUAUUGUUUUUCUGAAAGUUAAGAUGUUUAUGAAUACAUGUCGAAGCUAGUGGGAGCAUAAGUGUUAUGUUUUAUAAUAAUCAUCAUGAUAGUGGGAGCAUAAAUGUUAUGAUUGUAUGAUUAUUAAGGCACGUAUUGCAAGUUGGCAAUAUUAAUUAUAGAAAACAAGAGUUAUACCUUGCAAAGUCGUAAGGGUUGUAAAGUUGUUUUGCUAUAAUUAAGGGAGAGAAUAUUAUGCUUCAUUUCAAAUCUAAAGGAUUAGGUUGAGAAAUGUUAAUAAAUUUAGUCAAAGGUACAUAGUGUGUUCUUAAAAUUUCGAUUAUGAUUACGACAUUCCUCUUCACAAUUCGAAUUUUGAGAACAUAGCAAAUAAAACAUUAUGCGUCGUGUCCCAUACGCUUCGGGUAUAGGAUCGAUUGCAAAUGCUUUAAUGUUUGACCAUUCUAAAAUUUUCCAAAUGUCUAGCGCAUUUAGAGGGAAAAAGGACUAGAAUCGGUUUUGACUAAAAUAAUUAAACAACUAUCAAAGGACAAUCCAAAGUUCGACGAGGAUUGGUCGCUUGUGAGUAGUUGGAAGUAUAGUAUUGGAAAAUAUGGAAAUGUUUCCAUAUUGGAUGGACCAUAUCGACAUCAUUACGAAUAGAUAAGAUUCUAUUAAGAAUGAGUUGUCAUAUGGAAAAUAUGGAAGCGUGUCCAUAUUGGGAAUUGAAUAUUGAAAAUCUAUGUCUAGAUUAGAAACUUUUAUGCAAAAGGAUGUUCAAAGGAAUGUACUUUGAGUGAGAGACAUCAUAUCUAAGGAAUUGUCUUGUAACAAUCUCCGAUAGAGGACUUUGUAAUAUCAUUGGCAAUAGUCUUUGUGACUUUGGUGCAGUGACAUUACGAAAGGAUCAUUGCAUAAAAUGUUAGAAUCUAGCAUAUUCUAUAAGUAGCAAGAAUUUGAUAUUCUUUCACUUAUGAAAAAGGAUUUGGAGUUGUGAAAUGAGAAUGAUUGGAAAUGUGUUCAAUUUGAUCUAUUUCACAAAGUAAGAACCAUAGGUAAACAUUGUGUGCAUGCUAGGAGCAUGGGACAAGUGUAAUAAUUCAAGUAAGAAGUUGAUUACCCGAAACGACAAAUAAUGAGUAAUCGAUAUGGUGAUAAAUAAAAGGUGUUUUAUUUAUACUCAAAGGUUUGAGGCCAUAUGGGAUUAGUAUUAUUCUUGUGUUUCACUUUGCAUGUUUUGACUUCCUGAAUAAUUUAAUUGGUUAAGAACAGUCAAAUUAUUCGAACGGGCCACAGUCGUUCAUAUGUUGGAAGUAGGUAUGAAUGAAGACUGUCGUGAAUUGGUGUGUGGAUUGUCUAAAGAGUAUUAGACAUAAGCAAAUGUUUGCUGCAACGUUCAUGAGUGCUUAUGAAUAUGAUUUGAGCAUUGGAUUAAACCCACGCUCACUUGGAUCACUCCAUGAAUUGUAUCACGAGUGAUUGGUGAGACGAUAACAUCUUAUAUUCUUGAAACCGAGAUGUGUGAGUUGUAUCUUGCAAAUCGGUUGCACAUUGAUAAUAUGUAAACGCACUAGUAACUUGGUGUUAUAAAACAUAUUGUUGUGUGUGAUUCGGUGAGUGAGUGCAAGCAAGCAUUGUAUCAAAGUUUAUCCGUUCCUUUUAUCCAAAGUAGGAUAAAAGCGAUAUCUUUGGGCCCCUCGAUGAUUUAGUGAUGACAAACGUAAAUGCUCGGCCGGGCUAGGGCUAAUUUGAUUUGUUCAAUUAGUCAGUCGUCAUAAAUCGGGAAUCGAGAUAUAGUACAAAGAGAAUGAUUUGAAAUCAUAUCUCAUAUGAUAUCUAGAAUGGAGGAAUAUAUGAUCCCUUAUCUAAGGACACGCGUAUCUGAUAGGAUCAGAGUUGACAGCGGCUUUGGAAAGCUACGAUUGCAGAUCAGGAUCUGAAGUCAUACGCAUAAUAGUUAUUAGACUUAUCCAAGUGGGAGACUGUUGGAUUAGUGUCUAAGUCCAUAACUAUUUUGGUAUGUACUUGACCCGAUGGUGCAUGGUCCUUUUGGGUUGCCUUCACCAAAGCAACUUGAUAGGAUGAAUUAUGGAGAGAAAGGAUUAAAUAUGAUUUAUUAAUAUAUUAUGAGAAUAAUAUAUUAAAGGAGAAAUCAUAUUGUUUAAUUAAUAUUAGUCAAUAAUUAAUUGGUAAUUAGUUUUGUGACUAAAAGAGAUUAAUUAAACUUAAGGGACUGGAAUUGUAAUUAUAAGAUAAUUGCAAUUUGGGCCAUGGAUUGCCUUUUAUUAUAAGGUGGACGAAUUCUAUGGGGGAAGCCCAUAUGAAAUCGUCCAAGGCCUUAAGGAAAGGGCUCCAUGGGUUGCUUAGGGCUUAAGCAUCCAAAUUAGGGUUUCCUUGUUAGAUAACCCUAAUUGCCUCCUAUAUAUAUGGAUCCCUUAUGACCCAAAAACGUGGCUAAGACUCCUCUAGGGUUUGUAGACGUUUUUGGGCAGCCUCCAUCCUCUCUCCUCUUCAUCCUCUUGCUUAUGGUGUUUGUGAACCAUUAGAGGAGUGACAAUUGUGACUCUAAGCUUUCUAAAGUCAAUACAAGGAGAUUUGGGAUUGUUAUUGCUACAUAACAAUCAAGGUAACAUCUUAAACCUAUUCUCAUGUUAAUAUGAUUACUUGAAUGUUAGAAUUAGGGUUUAUAGUCUUGGAUAACUUGCAUGUACAAUAGAGAAACCUAGAUCCAAGCAUUAGGGUUUGUAUGAGCACAUAGGAUGUUCUUAGGACCAAAACCCAUCAGUUGGGUCGAUCAAGCCCGCCAUGGUUGAGUACCUUGAUGAGCGCUAUGCAACUCUUUCGGAGGUGGUUGCCGCGGCAGCUACAGCGGCUGUAACAGCGGAAAGGGGGAGGAAUCGGUCGAGGUUUUCAGUAUCGGGACUUCGAUAAUACGAAGUCCCCUACUUUCGAUGGAGUUCAGGAUACGAUCGUUGCUAUGAGGUGGUUGUCAGAUGUGGAGGGUUGUUUCUUCACGUGUUCAUGCCACGCUGAUCAGAGGGUGAGGUGUGCUCUAAACCUUUUGAGGCUUGGGGCGAGGGAUUGGUGGAGGUUGAUUACGGGAUCUUAUUCGGAUGCGCAUCGGGCCGCGGUUACUUGGGAUCAGUUUCGGGAGAUGUUUAGCACUCGAUAUGUUCCGAGGGUUGAGAGAGAAAGGUUGACUCAAGAGUUCUUGGAACUAAAGCAGGAUUUAGAGUCGCUGACGGAGAUCACCAGGAUGUUCAAUGAGAGGGCGAUGUUUUUCCCCGAGUUUACUUCGGAGCAGGCUCAGAUGUCCCAAUAUCUAAGUAUGCUCAAGAGGGAUAUCAGGCAGUUUGUGUCUAUGCAGAGGUGCGAGACCUUGCUGGAGUUGCAGUAGGCGGCGUGAGUUGGAGAUUGAGUUACAGUUGCGAGAGCAGAGGCACGCCCCGGUGCAGUCGCAACCGACGCCGAAACGGUCCAAGACCGUUGAUUCCAGGUUGGGAAGUCGGAGCAGCCGUACUUGUGAGAAGUGCGUGAAGGGUCAUACCGGAGUUGGUAGGUCCGGUGGUGCAUGCUAUAAGUGUGGGAAAGAGGGGCAUUAUGCGAGUGAUUGCCAUCAGUUAGCCUUGAUUCAGGAUUUGAGGAUCCGUUAUCACUUUCAUCAGAUUGGACACUUGAGGGUCAACUGUCCACAGCUUGUUGCAAGACCGUUGCAGGCUCCAGCACUGGCUACUUUGAGGAUUACGGGAGGAGGUCAGGGUGGAGCGGAACCUCCAAGGGCUCAGGAACACUGGAAAGGAGUGAUGACUAUGUUCAGCUGGGGUUUUGCAGCAGGAAGUGAAAUGGGUAAUUGAUGAAUUGGAUUGACGUUUGGUAGGGAAAGGACUGUUCCCUCUUAGUUUCUCGAGCUCAAAGGAGUGAGCAGACUUGUGACCCGGGGGCAGGUUGUUCUCCAGCAUUGGGGUCAAUUGGUUGCAGAGGUUUGCAACAUUAUUCGAGCGCCGGAAAGCGCAGGUGGGUCGACUUGGCAUAAGUAAAUGUGGAGUCCGAUAUGCCUUGGAUAUCUUGCAUUGGAUGGUAAGGAUUGAUUGUACAAUCUAUUACACAUUGGGAGUGCAGAUUAUGUCUUGGGAGUAGUUGUAUCCCAGUUUAGGACAGAGGUUGUUUCAGUCGCUGCAGUUCAGCUAUGGACGUUUGAGCUGAUAAUUGGGUCAGGGUGCGAACCCUGAAGAGAUUGAUUCUAGUGCUUAGGAGCGGGAAGUUUAUUGAAACACCUUUGGAAAAAGGGGUAUUAUGGGGGAAGUCUGCAGGUAGGGUUUCUCAGAAUGGUCAUUCAGCAUUGACGGGACUCUGUGGUAUUAGCAACCGUUCGUGAUCGACGGACGGAAGCGCCAGCGGAAAGGGGUUCGUGGGCAAGGUAUUAGUUGGAGCAUUUAUCUUUUGGCCUUCAGGGCAUGAGUGUGGGGUCGCUCAAGCAUUAGUGGGUAACGGGUUCUCUGUAGUUCAGCAAGUUCUCAUCUGGUUCUUGGAGGUGUGUGAUCAUUCGGGAUGGGCUAGUAAUGGAACACUAGUGGGAAAGAGUUGGUCGGCCUCAGAUCGGUCGUCGGGAAGUGAGAAGGAUUGAGAAUCCUCCAGUUUUCAUGUAUUAUGAAGGCUUAGUCGAAUAUAAGUGGGGGAGUGUUACCCCGCGAUGCGGAUGUGGGAAGGGUUUUGAAAUGGGGAUAAGUUUCGUAACCCGAUAGGGAAAAUGGAGGCCCUAGUGGCUGCUUGGUUCAGGGUUGUGUGAAUCGGGGGUUCGGUAAAACUACCCAUUAUGUGUAUCACGUCUUCUCGGUAAUUGACAACAAAAUUUAGGGAUUCGGGUUGGAAGUCUGGUUAUGAUUGAGUUAAGUUCGAGUAUUCGCUCGAGGGUUUGCUCAAUUCUGAGGGUUUUAGAUUGAUAGAUUGAAGGUUUUGUUAGCUGCCAGGGCUCGACAACAUUGCAGCACGGGUAUGCGGGUUAUUUAGCGUAUGUGAUAGACGCAUAGGGCAGGGAGCAGAACAUGGGUUCAGAUGAGGUAGUUAAUCGAUGUGAGGCCUGGGUUUAGGCCGGGGAAAAUUUCAAGGGACGGAUUCGGAGUUCAGACCCCUAAAGGGCUAGAACAUACUGCUUGGGAGAGAUUCUCGGGAAGAAUGGAUCAAGGUGUCGUACGUCAGUUUUGAGCGGUCCGGAUAUACUGAAGGCCGGAAGGCGUACCAGUCAGGCCAAAGGCUCAGGGAACGGUCCAGAUAGACUGAAGGCCUAGGAGGGCGGUCCAGACAUGCUGAAGGUUCUAAGAGUGGUCUAGAUAGGCUGAAGGCUUGGAAAGGCGGUCCAGUCAUGUUGAAGACUCUGUAUGUGUUAUUGGAUCGGUAUGAGGAGUAUAAGUGAAUAGGUCGCCAUGAGAUGGUAAUCGAUAUGGUCUGGCCCCAAGUAUUGAUCAUGAUGAUGGAGUCGGCUGGAGGCCGUGUGUGGGCCUAGUUAGUAUGUGAUCGGAUUCUAAGUAUAUGGGAGUUCGAGAAUAGUAGUUGCUCUACAUGGAUAGUGUAGAGUGGAGUUUAGCACACUGAAACUUGCAAGUGUAGCAAGGAUUGUUGAGUAGAUUCCCUAGAAGGGGAAGGUAUAUAGCUCCAGAAGGAGUAUGGGCCCUCUGAAAGGAAGAAGUAGUGGAAAUGGGUGAUCGAAAGUACUUCAGUUAUUGAUAGUAAAGCACUGGGGUUGUACCAAAUAUACGGGGGCACUUACGGGUUGGAUUCCCGUUGAGGUUGUAGCAAUGUUGGAUAAUGCGGAGGCAUGUUUUCAGUCUCCUUGGGAGAGGAGGAGGAUAGUGGUUCUAGAUUGGAGGUUUGGACGAAGGAAGGUGAGACGGUAGGUUAACAGACUCGAGAGUAGUCUGGACCGGUGUUGAGGACUGUACGAGGAUAUUACAGUCGGAGGUCAAGGACCUAGAGGUCGUGAUAGGGAGGUGUGAGUGGGUUGCACUCCGUUGAGUAGAACCAAGGAGUUCGGAAGGGAUGCAAGGAUGAAGCCUUGGAUUUUCAGUAUGGUUGUGAUCAGGAGGUUAUGUAUAUAGCUGUAAAUCAUCCUGGGGAUGUCUGGAGGUAUCGUCAGUAUGUCGGGUUUUCCAGCCUAAGGAUGUUAGAGCAGGUUCAACAUGCGUGUGCGAUUGCAGGGGAGAGCUCAUGGGAGUUGCUCAGAAGCUGAAGGAUGUGCCAUCCUGUCAGUUCGGAAAGAAACGAGUUGGCUUCAGAAAGGAAAGCGAGAUAAGUCCCAGAAGUGAAUUCGAUAAAGGAUAUGCCAGUCGAGGAAAGGGGUAGCAGCUUGGUACCGGGUCAGGACCCGGUGGUUCAGGGUGAUAUCUAGCUUGGUAAGGGUCAAGUGAUCGUUGUGAUUUGGAGUGAUGAAAGUAUCAUCGGGUGAUCAUUGGUUAAUAAGGGUUGUUAUCAGAGCAAGAAGCUAGUGGCCGACUUGAAUCAGUUGUCGUAACUCUGGGAGGGAAGAGUGGACUUUAUAGAGGAUGGUUAGAAGUGUUCGGAGGAACCUGGGUCGAUUGAUACCAGGAGGUGCAUUAUGGGAAUAUCAUCUGGGAUGUGUUGCGGCCGGAUUCGAGGAUGAAGCCUAAAUUAAGUGGGGAAGAAUUGUAACACCCCGAGUUCAGAAGUAUAAGCUCAGGAUUCUAAGUGUAAAUAAGGAAGGUCGAGUCGGCGAGUCGAUGGAUAGACUCGGCGAGUCGGGUCACGAUUCAGGACGUGUGUUAAAUGACCAACUCGGCGAGUCGGCAGCUAAACUCGGCGAGUUGGUGCUGAAGGGAGAAAAACCCUAAUCCGGGGUUUGUACCAUAUAUAAAGCACAUUAUAGCCACCCUCAGCCUCUCUACCUUCCCUUUUAGUUCCAGAAAACCCUAAUUUCGUGUGAGGCUUCAUUGUUGGAAAGAUUGGGGCUUAGAAGAGGAAAUUGUGAAAGGAUCUUGAGAAUUGGGAGCUAGCAUCAAGAGGCUUGUAAAGAUCUGAGAUCUACAUCAGAUUUGUGUACAUCUCUGAGGUAAGGAGCUCUUGCCUUAAGAUUUUUCCUUUGUGGUUCAUCCUUGGUGGUUGUCUUGGGGAUUCUUUUACUUGGGUUGGAUUCAUUUCGGGUUUAGAGAUUAGAUCUGAAGUUGCAACUUCAGAACUAGGUUGUAUUGGAGUCAUAAGGGCAGAAAGCAUCAGUCUUUGGGCUUGUUUGAGAGUGCCUUUGUCCCAAAACCUUUUUGUAGCUUGGUUGGAGCUUGUUGAGCCUUGCAUGCACGUAAGGUUGUAAACUUUACGUGUGAAUUUGGCCCUAGGAGUCAAAAUCUAUGUAUUGGAAGCAGUGGAAUGGUCUGUGAUCGUCUGAAUGAGGAUGUCACGAGUAGACUCGGCGAGUUUGGGAGAUGACUCGGCGAGUCCGGCUUGAUAUCAGUCUUGAGUCGCAUAGUAACUCGGCGAGUCACAUGGGUGGACUCGGCGAGUUGUAUGAAGAUGGGCAGAAACUUGACGAGUUGGAAGAACAACUCGGCGAGUCUGUUGAAUAUUGCCUUGGACUCGGCGAGUCUGUUCUUGGACUCGGCGAGUCGGUUCUUGGACUCGGCGAGUCUGGUCGAGGAGUCCAAACCUUUUCUGGUUGAACGGUGAAUCGGCGAGCCGAAGGACGAAUUGGUGAGUUGAGUCGCGUCAUGGGAGUUUUCAGAACAUAGGGACUCGACGAGUCAACGGGUUGACUCGGCGAGUAGAGUCAGUCAGGAAGGUUGACUUUGACUGAGGACUUUGAAUUUGACCAAGAGUUGACCAGUUGAUUUCUAGGGGUAUUUUGGUAAUUAUUGGUAUUUAUUGAGUUCGGUCUUUAGUAUUGAUCUGCGGUGGAGUUCUUGUCGGAGGUGGGAGCAGCGUGAUCUUAUCUUUUCAGUCAGCAGUUGCGAGGUGUGUUAUCCUCACUAUAUCGAUAGGGUCUACGGCACCAAGGACGACCCUUUAUGAUUUACAUCCUGGUUUAGGAUGGUUGCUUUGUUAUUGCCAUGUUAGAUUUCAUCCUGGUUUAGGAUGGGUGUUAUGUUAUUGCUAUGUUAGAAUUCAUUCUAUUUAGGAUGGUUGUUAUGCUAGAGAUCGGUUAGAUCGGUUGUCAUGGUAUGCUACAUAUGAUUCUGAUCUGUUAGAUCGAAAUCAGGAUAGAUAGUAUGUUAUGCUUUUUAUGAUCCGUAAGGAUUGAUAUGUUAGUGACCUGUUAGGUCGAUGCUCUAGUUACGAGUGAAACUCUAUGAUUGAUGGUAAAUGAGAUAGAUAUGUUUGCUAUGUGUAUGUGCCAGUAUAUGAAAGUAUGCGUACAUGGUUAGUUGCUUGUUGGUUGGGUUGAGGCGGUCCUGCUUUGUGCUGAAGGCCAACACACCCUCUGAGCGGUCCGGGCAGAUUGUAGGCCCACGCGGCGAAUCAGUCAUGCCGAAGGCUCUGGAUAGAUUCAGAUAGACUGUAGGCCUAGUAGGGCGGACCAGUCCGGCCGAUGGCCCAGUAUGUAUGUUGUUUGAUUGAUCGUUAUGGCUAUGGUUUCUGCCAGCGUGGUAUUGGUAUUUUGGGGGUAACUCACUAAGCUUUCGGGCUUACAGUUUCAGUGUAUUGUUUCAGGUACUUCAGGAGACCGUGGAAAGCCGAAGGCAUGACCGUACCGCUCCUCAUCCUCAUGAUCUAUUUUGGGACACUCUGAUGAUAAAUGAAUUGGAAAUGUUUUGUAAAAACAAUUGCUAUUUGACUUUUUUGUUAGUAUUAAAAGUUUAAAUUUGGCGUAAAUUUUAUGGGCGUUACAAAAAUUAUCACCAAAAGAGAACUAUUCACCAUCUUUUCUACCAAUGUUCAUCAUCUUUAUUACCUAGCCUUACCCCUCACCUUCACCGAAAUUGAUAUUUACCUUCCACUAUAAUUUUUUUUUUCGCUAUAAAGGUAUUAGUCAAAACAUGUUUUCUGAAAUAGUACAAUGUUAUCGAAAUGAACCAAUUUUUAUAUACAAAAAUAAAACUAUUAUCGAGUGAUGGACAACUUUAACAAUUUUUACUAGAAAACAAGUAGAUAUAUAAUUUGGUGUCUAUGUAUCAUGUCGAAGUAUUAGAAAAAACUAUUACUUAUUUUUUUUUGUUUAUUAUAAUUUGCUUGCUAUUUAAAGUAAACAAUUAUAGCAUUGUGUUGUUGUGGAUGUAUCUGAAUUGAAUGAAUUGAGUCGUAUAUUUAGUUAUUGUUACUGAACCUUGAACAUAUAUCCAAGUGAGUUGAGUAUGAGAGUUUUAAGAUUCCCUUAAAUUGAGUUUUUAACAUACUGCUUAUUUGGUGUAGUAAACCAUUUGCACAAAAGAACUUAUUGCCUCUAGAAACUAAUUAUUGAAAAAAAACUAUUCGCACCCGUCGGUUGGCGCGGGUAAACGGCUAGUGUGAGUGUGUGUGUGUGUGUGUGUGUAUAUAUAUAUAUAUAUAUAUANNNNNNNNNNNNNNNNNNNNNNNNNNNNNNNNNNNNNNNNNNNNNNNNNNNNNNNNNNNNNNNNNNNNNNNNNNNNNNNNNNNNNNNNNNNNNNNNNNNNNNNNNNNNNNNNNNNNNNNNNNNNNNNNNNNNNNNNNNNNNNNNNNNNNNNNNNGGUGAUGCUACUAAAACACUCCUUAGACAUCUCAUUGACCUCUUUAUAAAAAGUUAACCUAUAAUUAAUUACAUAUAAUUAGCUUUUUCAGAAAACAAUCCAAUUUUAUCCAAUAAAAUAUUUUAAAAUUUAAUUAGGAUGUCUAUAUGGUAAAAUGGGGUGUCUAAGGGGUGAUUGUGGGCAAUCAUUUUAAUUAUUUUAAGAAAAUUAUUAAUAAAUAUUAUUGAAUUAAAAAUAAUUGAAAAAUAUCAUCUAAUUUCAUUGUAAGGGUAUUUUAGUCACUUAUCAUAAAUUUUAAAAAAAAAUUGCGGAAUUUAGAAAUAAUUAAUUCUCUUAACUUUAAAAAUUAACUAUUUUUUAUAGUUAUAUUAAUUCGGACAUUCUAAAAGAAUGUGUUCAUGAUUAUCUUGAAAAAAGUCAUUAUAUUCUGACAGAAUACUAUAAAAAUAUAUUAUCAAGAUCAAGAAUUUUUAAUGAACCAAUAAUUACAUUCAUUCUGAAAUAAUACGACUAAUACGGUUAACAAUUACAUUUAUUCUUAAAGAUUGAGAAUAGUUAAAAAUCAAAUAAAAACCUUGAAAUCUAAGUAAAACACUAAUAAUUUAUGAGAGAAUGUUAUUGCUAAUUAAUUCUGACAGAAUAUAUCGCUAAUCCCUUCUAAACAAAUAUUGUUGCUACUUCUCACAUAUUGACACAAUGUAUUCCCAUCUGAUGUGACUGCCGUGAGAAUAAUAAACUUUUAUCUUCAAUUAAUGACCUGUAAAAAUAAUAAGAGCAUUAUGUGAAAAACAUAUAUCAUAGUAGUAAUCCCAUAGAGGUGCAUGCUUUUAAAUGCACAAUCUAUCAAAUUGUUAUAAUUGGGUUGUGCAUUGAUCUUCUUGUCUUUAGAGGCUACCAUAUAGGAACAAUGGUAGUUGAUUUCUAUGGUUUCGUCAUUGUGGCCUCGCCUAUCUCAAAACUUGGAUAAUCUGAAGGAAAUGAAUAAAGAGAGUUAGCAUAAGCUAGUGGGACAUGAGAUUACGUGGGAUUGAUAUGUGUAUAGAUAAACAAGUAAUUAAGUUACGUAUGUACCAUCUGUUCCAAUGUUCGUUAGAUAAGGGAGCAACCGUCUAUAGCUAUUAUAUGAGCUCCGACUUAUGAAUACCUAUCAAUUGUCAUUUGAUUGCACAAAGUUAUAAUCAUGAGCAUAUGACAAUGCACACAAUGAUGACAUAAAUGUGCUUAGGACUAGAUGAAGUGAUGAGAAAUUGGAGAAAAUGGAAAAGUCAAUGAAGGCAAAGUGCCAAAGUAAACUUAUCAAUCUCUUACGCUUAACCAUACCUAAUUUCCAAUUUAAAUUUAUCAGAAUCAGUUCAACUAAAAAUAAUUUCAUGUUCGAAGUUUCAAAAGUAAACUUAAAGUAUUUAAACUAAUAUGACUCACAUUCUUGGGUAUUCAACAAAAUCAGCAAACAACUGAAUCUUAACUUUAUUAGAUCCAACAUUCUCGGGAAUUCUUAGGUGAAAAAUAUUAAAUGAAUGAAAAAGUAGCUAAUCAAGUAUGCAACAAUAAUCAUCGAUCACAGCUCCUUCAUACUGAAAUCGGAUUGCAAGGGUUAAUAGCAUCCUAUCUCUAUGUGUGUCUUAGUAUCAAAAACAGAAAUCACUUCAUUUUUAUUAUGGGUUACUAUGUCAGAUGCUUGAACAUCUCCAUUAACAAUGAACAUGGUUCCUUUGGGUAUUAAUAUGUAUAAAGACACAAUGACAUAUGUUACAAAAAUAAACAAAAUAAAGUUUAGAAUGUUAAAGAAAUUACCAAGAUAAGAAGAAUUGUACUGGUUAGAAAACUGAUUUCUAGGGCAAGAAAAUAACGAAAACAAACUUGAAGCACCAAUUGAAGAAAUGCAGUAUGGAAACAAGCGAACUGAUAUGGGAGGGAUGCGACGGUGGUUGAGGAUAUGGUAGCAUUGGCGACGACGGAUUUUCCAUUCAUAUUAGGUUCUAUUUUUGUUGGGAUUAGGAGUACGAAUGAGAAUCAAAAGAAGGGGAAGAUGAUUUAUACGGGGGGAUUGAGACAAAUGCUUUGCAGAAUAAAGGAAUGGAAGAUAUUAUAGGGUUUGAUUAUUUUUAUGGGGAAAGAAGAUAGUGAAGCCUGUAGCAGUAGGGAGGAAAGAAGGUUGAGGUGGUGGUGGUGUCAUUUGAGUAGAGAGUACAAGGUGGAAAACAUCGACGGAGAGUAGGAACCAACGAAGGGAUGGAUAAACCGAUCUGAGAUUUAAGGGCUAGGGUUAUAGAGAUGGCAACGUGAAUCAAGGGGAUAUCCCUUUAAUUUGACAAAUUAACAUCAAUAAUUAACAUGUAAUAUUACUUUUUUUACCCUUAUUCUAAGUUUUGAAAUAAUUGGUUCACAUUCAUUUGUAUAUCCACAGAAUAGAUGGUUAGAACAAAUGAACCUAACUCUCUCUCUCUCUCUCUCUAUAUAUAUAUAUAUAUAUAUAUAGAGAGAGAGAGAGAGAGAGUGUGAGAGAGAGAGAGAAUGUGGAUGACAUCUAUUGUGUGGACGUAAGGACAAUUCUGGACCAAUCAUUUUGGAGUAAUAUACACUUUUUUAUAUCAUUAUUUUAGGCAAUUAAGUAGUCAAAUCCAUAAAUUUAGGAAACUUAUCCAAAUCAAAUCAAUUAUAUUAAUUAUUAUUUGUAAUACUUAAAGAAUGCUUGUAUAAUUUUCUGGUCCCCUCCAAGAACAUAAUUUCAAAUUGAACAACAUUCUUAAAGAAUAUUUAUAAAUAUUCUUUCAAACAAAACACAAUUCUAAAUGAAUUACAAAAACAGCCAAGUAAAUUUUUUCUAAAUUUGAAACAAUUCUUAAAAGAAAACUAUUCAUUUGAUGCUAGGACAAUAGAAUAAUGAAUAAUUAUAGCAACAUCAAAAUAAAGAAUGAAGAAUCAGAAUCAUUCUUAUUGGAAAACUAGAUCAAAAGAAUUAGAAUUCUUAAAGAAUAUGCAAUAUUCUUACAGAAUGUGAUGUAGUUAUUUAGAAGAAUGUAAGGUAUUCUAAAAGAAUGUAUAACAUAUUCUUGACGUAUGCCUCUAGAAAAUGUAAAAUGUGUAGCAGAAUAAACUUGAUCUUCUUUACCAGGCUGUAGAAUUGAGUUUAUCUACUUCUAUUUGAAAUAAAAAAAUAGUUGUUACAAGAAUUCCUGCAAAAUGAAAAGACCAACUAUGUUAGGAAGUUUUUGCAUUGAUUCUCCAUGUGUAUGUCCAUCAUUCAAAUUUAGAUAUUUUCCGGAUGACAGAUCGUGAAGGAGUAUUAUCAAUUCAUCUAUAAAGAUUUUAUUUUUCAAGAACUGCCAUAUCUAGCAACAAUAAGACGUACGAGUUUAAGUUUACAAGCUAAACAUGUCAACCAUAUGUACUCUUGUUGGAUUAGAUGGAUUUUGCUGUUGGUAACAUCAAGGAACUGUAAUUUACUAUUUGUAACAUCAAGAAAUUAUAGUUUUCAUUACAUCUGCUACACAUUUGUUGCCUUCAAAUCAGAUCGUCAAUUUGAUCAGUCCAAGGAGAAUGUCUCUAUGAAGAGUAGAAACAUGAUGCAAAACACCACAAAAAACUACAUCAAUGUAUGUGGAAUUACAGCUCCAAUACAAGAAAACCACCAAUUUAACUUAUGAUCUGCCAUUUAAUAGAUUAAAAAAAAAUGAAGACAAUAAGAACAAUUUCAAUAAUAAAAGACGAACAAAAUCACCAAUUUCAACAAGAAAAUAAGGUAAAAAAACAUUUCAAAAGAACAAAAGAACACGAUCAGAACAUUUUAGUAAAGAGAUGAACAAAAUUACCAAUUUUAGUAGGAAAAAGAGAGAAAAGAAACACUUGCAGUAUAGAAAAAAUUACUACUGAUUCAGAGCAGGCGACAGGGAAGGAAGACGCAACCACAUGAAGGGUUUGGUGACGACUCCUUGAAAAAACAAUGACGGAAGAUGGUAGUGGCUGUGCUGAUUUUACUAGUGAGACCUUUAGUGGACCGAUGAUGGUGAGAACUGAUGGUGCUGUGGUAGGGUUGUGGGGAAGGACUUUCAAUCUGAUGAAGUUUGGUGGUGGUUGAGAUGGAGGAUUUAAAAACGCAGGAACAGGUCGAUGUCUUCUUGAUGAGGAUAGUUUUAAAUCAUUAAACUAAUUACCUAAAUAAAAGGGAUUAAGGAUUUAAUUAUUUAUUUACCAAAAUUAAUAUUUUAAAAUGAUGGGUCCACACUAAUGCUUACAUCCACACAAUAAUUGUUCAUCCACAUCUAAACCUACAUCUCUCUAUCUCUCUCUCUCUCUCUCUCUCUAUAUNNNNNNNNNNNNNNNNNNNNNNNNNNNNNNNNNNNNNNNNNNNNNNNNNNNNNNNNNNNNNNNNNNNNNNNNNNNNNNNNNNNNNNNNNNNNNNNNNNNNNNNNNNNNNNNNNNNNNNNNNNNNNNNNNNNNNNNNNNNNNNNNNNNNNNNNNNNNNNNNNNNNNNNNNNNNNNNNNNNNNNNNNNNNNNNNNNNNNNNNNNNNNNNNNNNNNNNNNNNNNNNNNNNNNNNNNNNNNNNNNNNNNNNNNNNNNNNNNNNNNNNNNNNNNNNNNNNNNNNNNNNNNNNAAUAGAGAACCAUUAUUAAGAAGGAACCAAUGGACCAAUCAUGAGCGUCGAAAUUUAAAGCGAUCAACGACUAAAGAAAUGGAUGUACACUUAUACAUUGGACGCACAUAUACCGGGUUAUACAAUAAAAUUCAUUUUUGUUUUCAUUUUUUUGUUUAUCAAAAACAAUUUUAAAGUUAACAAAAUAGCAAUGCCUUUAAACAUAAUAAGACGUGACAACCACACAUUUAUUAUUUAUUUUUAAUAGAAAUCUUAAAUACAUAAUAAUAAGUAGUUUAUAUUUCAAUAUUUUGCUGAUAAACACACACCCGUGUAUAUAUAUAUAUAUAUAUAUAUAGAGAGAGAGAGAGAGAGAUAGAGAGAGAGUAAAAUGAAUACACCUAACAACCUUAUAUAAGCUUAGGUACCUAACCACAUUAUACUACAUCAUUUUGCAUUAUAUUUUCAUUGCAAUCAUCAAAGGUUCUAAAACUUCAACCUUAACUUGAUUUACUUCCAAGAUUUUCAAACAUUCACCAUUAUAUUCCUCUUACAUCAUUUGAAUUGUAGAAGUAGUAUAUGAAGCCCACCAGGAGGUAUUCGACAGAAAGACGUCAUUUGAAGGAAGAUAAUGGUGAAAGUCCAAAGAUUUUGGAAGUAAUCAAGUUACAAUGUUGAGUUUUAAGAACUUUUGGCGAUUACAAUGUAAAUAUGAUACAAAAUUGCGUAGUAUGAUGUGGUUAGGUACCUAAGUUUAUAUAAGGUUGUUAGGUAUAUUCACUUUANNNNNNNNNNNNNNNNNNNNNNNNNNNNNNNNNNNNNNNNNNNNNNNNNNNNNNNNNNNNNNNNNNNNNNNNNNNNNNNNNNNNNNNNNNNNNNNNNNNNNNNNNNNNNNNNNNNNNNNNNNNNNNNNNNNNNNNNNNNNNNNNNNNNNNNNNNNNNNNNNNNNNNNNNNNNNNNNNNNNNNNNNNNNNNNNNNNNNNNNNNNNNNNNNNNNNNNNNNNNNNNNNNNNNNNNNNNNNNNNNNNNNNNNNNNNNNNNNNNNNNNNNNNNNNNNNNNNNNNNNNNNNNNNNNNNNNNNNNNNNNNNNNNNNNNNNNNNNNNNNNNNNNNNNNNNNNNNNNNNNNNNNNNNNNNNNNNNNNNNNNAUAUAGAGAGAGAGAGAGAGAGAGAGAGAGAGAGUAAGUUGUUGGUUUCUUGGGCAAACUAGAAGAGGUGACAUGGUUUUCCCAAUCUGUGUAGUUAAUGGAGAAACUCAACGAGUUGAAGGACAACUCUACGAGUUGGGUCAAUUUGGACUGUUGACUUUUAGUUUCAAUUUAUGUCAUUGAUCUUGUUUGUCCCAAGGAAUUCUUGAGGUAAUCUAAUUUGUAUUUAAGGGAAUUAUGGACUUAGGAUAAUGCCCAUAUGUGGUUGGGCCCAAUUUGGAAAAUUUGGCCAAUGGUUCAACAGUGUGCCUUUGGGCCUUUCAUAUUAUAGUUUGGGUUAUGGAUUUAGAUAAGGCUAGGUUAGGGGUAAAAUGGUCUUUUUACCCGAAGUAUGAAGUUGUGGUUAUGGAUUGGAACACAAUUGUUAAUUGGGUGUUGUUUUGAUCUGACAGUUCGGAGGUGUCGUCACGACAACAACUAGGGAUUUCUAUCAGUGUGCUUCAGCAGUGCGAGGUGAGUCUCCUCACUAUGUUUAGCGGGUCGAAGGUACCAAUUUCGGCCCAUGGUUUUUAUGUUAGGAUGCCAGUUCUCUGCAUGACUCUUGCAUGUGUAUGCAUUGGUAUGUAUGAUGGGCGGGGCCCGAUGGUUAUUCUAUGUGCUAGUAUCAGGUUAAGCAUAUAUGAUUGUAUGUGGGCGGGGCCCGUUGAUUGUGCAAUAUGCUACUAUCUUAGUGGGAAAGGCCCAUUAUGAGAGUGUUGGCGGGCCCGUAUCUCAUUGUUAUGCGAGUGUAGGCGGGUCCGUAUCUCAUUGGGCAGGGCCCGUUAUUCAAGUGUGGGCGGGGCCCAUAUCUCAUUUGGGCACGGAUCGUUAUAUGAUAUGUAUGGUAUGAGGUAUCUUAGAGAACUCAUUAAGCAUCUUGCUUAUGGUUUUCAGUUUAUGUUUCAGGUACUUCGGUUUUCAAUGGAAGAGCUCAGGAUGGUUGCAGGGCACACACCACAUGUUUCCCCAUAUAAUAUUCUACUUUCAUUUUAUGACAACUGAUACAUUGUUUUUUUUUUUGAGUUGUAUGCUUGGUUUGUGAAAAUACUAGUUGAUCUAUUUUAAAAAUGAAAAUUUUGGGACUAUAUUUUUGGAUGUUAUAAAAUGUACACCAAUAAUGGGACUACUAGGCCGCGAAUUUACCACCUUCGUUCCUAAAAAAUGAGGUGAUUGUGUUUCCUUUUCAGUAUAAAACUACAUUCUCUAAGCAAAUUCACGAAGGCUAUAUAUGUGAUAAACACCACCCAAUCGGAAUGCAAGGGCCCGAUGUAUGUCGGAUCGGUUGUCCGUUCUUCAAAACUGACUGUGGAAAAGAAUUCAGCUUAUACUUCUUGAUAAACGGGCUAUUGAAUAGAAAAUAAAUUGCACCACCUGUUGCAUUGGAAAGUGAAGCCUUAUCCUACAAAUAACAUUGUCCAAUAUCGUUCAACUUCUGUUACCAUACCAGUCACACGUAGAUAUGACCAAUCGACCAAUGGUGCUAAUGCAAACUCCCAACUGUAUAACCAUCCAAGCUUGUUUGCAUAAUUAUUAAGCAUGGUUUGUGAAACAUUUUGAGGGAAACGGUUUAAUGGAUGUAUACUAGGAACAUCAAUGUGUUCUUGUUCUUCCGGAAUUGCACAUUGUAGCCUCAUGGUACCUGAAAGAUUAACAACAAACUAAACACCAAAAAAUCCACCAAACAAUAAAGCGAUUAAGAUGUAAACAGAAAACUGAGUAUCCGGUUUUCUGGUCGUGGUCACGAAGACCAUGUCGUGAUGUUGGUUUGUGACAAAUCAGUUCAUCGGUUAUCCCAAGGUCAAAUCGAACUAAAUUCAUGUUUGGGGUUUAUGUAAUCUGCCAAUCUAAUGCUUUUUAACAUACAUGCAACCACAAAAUCACAUAACAAUGAACUAAUUUGACAUUUAGGCUUCAACGCAAACCCUAAGUCAAAAUUCUUAUAAAUAUAUGGAAAUUAAAGAUUAUGGUGCUAAUACAACAUACCUUUGAUGAUAAUAACAUAAUAUGGAAGCACGAAACAAAAAUUUUCAGCCAAAAUCAACGUGGGGGGACUAGUUCUGAUAUCACGUCGUAAUGUUUGAAAAGUAAGUGUUGAAGAUAGCAACAAAUGUUCUUAACUUACUCCGUGACUUUGACUAAUUCACGUCGCGAAUCUGUGCCAAUUUUCUAGGUUGUGAAUUUUGGGCUCAAAACUUUGAAUUUGGGUAUAAAUUAGCCUUUAGCACAUAUGAUCCAUAAAACUAGUCUUUUUCUUUUUCACUUAUAUAAUUAUGAAAAUCAUGAUUAUUAAAAUGAAUGUUGUUCAUAAAAAUAUUUUUCCUUUACGAUAAGGAUGCCACACUUGGUUUUUGCCUUUUUCUAAAAAUUAAGAUGACUGUGAUUAAGAUCUAUCGCAAAACUUAAAUAAAUAUGCAAAAACGAAAAGAAAAACGAAAAUAAACAUGCAAACCGAGAUCAGGUUGCAUCUCGAGAAGCGCUUCUUUUUGUAGGAGUCAUGAGUUAGACUUCGUUCCAUCUCAUGUUGAAUUUGUUGGAAUCAGGCUCUCUACUUGAACCUUUUUUUUCCCUCCACCUUUCUUGUAUGCUUAUAUCCUUCUUAAGUAGCCCUUCUUAGAAUUCUCAUUUUUCGCUUUAGAAUCACCUUCCUCGAGAUUUCGUUUCACCCCUUUAUUCUUAACAAGUUUAGGUUCUUCUUUUUCUUUUUGUACCUCCUUAGCUUCAAAAUCCACCUUGUCCAAAGUUGGUUGUCUCAAGUCUUGUGUAACUUCUUCUUCUUCUUCUUCAUCACUUGAUGCCAAACUUUCUUCACUUGCCUCACUAACUAGAGAAUUUGGAGUUUUAUAAGCAAAAACCUCAAAAACCAUUGGAAUUGAAGCUCUAGGCUUAGUACGCUUGAUGUAACAUUCUGUAUCCCAGGUAUAAUAUCUAUGCAUUUAUUUAUGAGUUGUCUGAGCUAACUCGACGAGUUGUGUGGCCAACUCGUUGAGUAAGGUUGAAUUGGCCACGUGGGUUUCAUGACCAACUCGACGAGUCAGAGAGCUGACUCGCCGAGUUGGCGUUGUGUGAGGAAACCCUAAAUCUCUGGGGUUGGGCCAUAUUUACAGGACCUUAAUCCCUCAUUUCCACCUCACCACCCACCCUACUCCCCUGUGUGAAACCCUAAUCGUUUGUAGUGAGCUAAGAGAGAAAGAGAGCUAAUCCUUGGGCACUUUGGUGAACUUUGUGAAGAAGAAUAUAAUAGUAUCAAGCAAGGAACAAGAAUAGGCUGUGGGAUCUGGCAUGAUUUCAACCAAAGUUUCUGUUGAAGGUAAAAUGUCUAUACCUUGCUCACUAGUUUGAUUAGAUCUCAUUUUAUGGAGUUUUAUGGCUUAUUCCAUAUUCUUGAGGCUUGGAGUGUACCAAGUGAUUUAGACUUCAGAUCUGGACCUUGUGAGGUCCCUAGAGUCAAAGGGUCACAACUUUAUCCAAAUAAUAAAAGAGCUUUCAUGAUUAAGAACCAAAAUGAGAGUUGUUUUGGCAUUUCAAGCCCUAAGUGCCAUACAUGAACGUAAAGCUUGUAGCUUUACGUGACAUUCGAGCCUUGGGAGGCUAGAUCUAGAGUUUUGGGUUAUAGAUCUGACUUAAAACGUCUGAAUGAGGAAGUAAACUGAAUGGACUCGUCGAGUCAAUGAGCUGACUCAAUGAGUCGGCUAGGGUUUUCCCCAAUAAGUCAGGACAUGGGUAACUCAGCGAGUUAAGUUGGAUUUUCGCGACAUCUCAGAGGAAACAAGGGGACUCGACGAGUCACAUAGAUGCACUCAACGAGUCCGGUCAACAUGGACUGUUGACUCAAGUGUUGACUUCUGUUGACUUUCGGGUUUUGGUCAGACGGGGAUUAUGCGGACCAUGGAGGGGUAAAAUGGUCUUUUACCCAUUUCAAGAGUUCGAGAGAGAAAAUAAUUUAGAGUCGUGUUUUAAGUGUUAAUUAGAGAUAAUUAUCCUAUGUGUUAGGCGGAUGCUAGUUCGAGAUUUGUGUACGAGGUGAUUUGCUUGCUUGCUUACGAGGUGAGUCUUCUCACUAUACUUACCUAGAGUGGUAACUUUUGUGUGACCGGAGGGUCUUAUGUGCUUAUAUUGAGUAUUGUGAUAUCCUACAUUAUGUCUUUGUGAUUUAUGAUGUGUAUUAUUAUGAUCUUACUGAGUUAAAACUGGAGGGUCCACCCGAGUUGUGGGACCGGAGGGUUCCACUGAGACACAUUAACCGGAGGGUCUUAUUUGAGUAUAGCCAUGAGAGGCUACUAAGAUGUGUGUGGUAUUUUGGGGAACUCACUAAGCUUCGUGCUUACUGUGUUAUGUGUUAGGUGUUUCAGGUACUUCUCAGGAUCACGGGAAGGCACCGACUUGAUUGUACACGUAUGAGUUGGAGAUAUGUUUUGGAGGAUCCUGGAUUGUGUUUUAAACAAUUUAUGAACAUGUGUUUUUGAUAACUCGAUAUUUAGGGGUUUUUAUGGUUGUGUUAAUGAAAUUAAUGUGAUUUUUAAAUGAAAAUUGUGUUUGGAAAUUUACGGUGUUACAAGUUGGUAUCAGAGCCUUGGUUUGAGGGAUUCGGAUAUACCUUCGGGUGUGUCUGGAAUCAAACAUAGGAUUUGAGGAAAAUUUUCAAAAGAAAUGAUUUUUCUAAAAACGAGUAAGUGUUUUAAUGUAACAUUCUGCUUAUUUAAUAAUUAAAUAGAUAAAAUUGAUGAACGAAUAGUCGCCCAAAAUCCAUAUUAUUUAGUGGAGUGUUGGUUUUGGGGAGCCAAAUGAUACAUUUUAGACUUUCCUGGGUCAAAGUGUAAUUUUAGGAUGUAUUUUGUAAAGAUUUUUAGAAGUUAGGGUGUGUUUGGUAAGUAUUGGACUAGAUUUGAAAGAGAUUUCAGAAAGCAGGGGCUAAAUCGUAAAAAUUGGACUUGAUUCGAAAGGAAUUAUAGGAGCAAGGGUAUAAUGGGUAAAUAUGGGAGUUGUUUCGAAAAGAUUUUGACGGAGAGGGGCCAUUCCUACCAUUAUGGAAUGAAGUUGUUAAGGAUCGGGUAUUUAAUUAUUACAUUGCCAAACCCUAAACCUAAUACACCUCUACAGCCGCCACCCUCUCCACCCUCCUUCCCCUCCGGCCGCCACCCUUCUUCACUCCCAUUUUCGAUUAGCGGGCGACGACAGCGACACUGAACUUCCACCAUGUUUGUUGCCGGCAAGAGAGAGUUCAACGACUCGAAGAUUUUGGCGAUGAGAUUGAGAGGAGUUGAACGAGCGAAGCUGCUGCCGCCACUGCCAUUCGAUUCCGAGCACUGCCACUACGAAUUCGCUGUCGGAGAAGUCGUGACCAGUCAAGGAAGGAACGUCGCAUACCAAAGAUGAAUUGUUCUUCUCGAAUCUUCGGUGCUUCACGCAGUCACGACCGCCGCUUGUUGCUCCGGUCAACAUCUUCCACACCGAGGGUGGUUGUAGCGUGCUUUCAAGCUUCCAUAUCGCAAGUUUGUGAGUAUCCUAGUGUGGUUGCUCGUUGUAUGGGUACAUCUCGGCCGAGAAAAUCAAGACAUGACAUCACCACUGCCUGGCACCAUCAACCACCACGUUAGGUGGUUGUGUAUAUGUGUGUGUGUGAGAGUUUUGCGUAAGUAUUCCACCGUGUGCGUGUCUUUGUGUGUGUAUGAGUGUUUUCGACGAGUGGGAUAUUGUAUGUAAUUGUUUUUGGCCGGAAAAUAGAGAAUGGCCACCACCACCACCACCGUGAGGUGGUGGCUGCCACCGUGUGCCACUGCCAACCACCACUAGAGUGGCUGUGUGUGUGUGUUCAUGCUAGUUAGUGUGUGUGUUUACUUUUGGAUUAAAGCAUGGUAAUUGUAAUUAGCAAGAAGAAUAAUGAAAAGAACCAUAACUACCACCGUGAGCCGCCAUUGACUACCACUACCCUGAGGUGGUAGUGGGUGGUCCUCGACUAGUGAAACCCUAUGGGCCUAGUGAAACCUUAAUUGAUCGAAAGACCUAGCUAUUGGGCCUAUUAGGCUAUAAUUGGGUUGGAAACCCUAAUUAGGGUUUGGAAAACCCUAAUUUUGGGAUUAUUGGUUUGGACUUAUCGGGACCCGCAUUUUGGACCAUUGGAGUGAAGUGAUGACUCAAGCCCGAUUUCAUUGUAUGUUUACACUUAAUGGAUUAAGUCCUUAAUGGAUUAAGCCCUUAAUGGGUUAAGUAGGAACACUUAAACCUAAUCGUCAUUUUAUGUGAAAAGCCCUACUUGGGUUUGGGUUCUUGUGGGGCUAUUUAUUGGACUAAGUUGUUGUGGGCCUUUGUGGGCCAAUUGGGAACAUAUUUAUGGACUAAAAAAAUUAUUGGGCCUUAGGAUAAGACCCAUUAGAGAGGUUUGGGCCCAAUUUGGAAAAUUGGGUCAUAACUGGGCCAUGAUCAGUGAAAAGUUUGCACUUCGUGCCAUAGAGGUAAUGCCUCCAUAUUUUCAGAGCGAAAACUACCGCUGCCAACUCCAAAUCAUGAGUCGGGUAAUUCUUUUCAUGCUCUUUCAGCUGUCGAGACGCAUAUGCUAUCACCUUUUCUCUUUGGGUCAAAACACAACCCAAUCCAACACCAGACGCAUCGCUAUAAACAGCGAAGUCUUCAACUCCAUCGGGUAGAGAAAGUAUCGGUGCCUCGCAUAGCUUCUUCUUUAACUUCUCGAAUGCUUCUUUAUGCUUCUCACUCCAAGCAUAAGUAGCUCCUUUGUGGGUCAAAGCUGUUAAUGGAGUAGCAAUCGAAGAAAAGCCUUGGAUAAACCUUCGGUAAUAUCCGGCUAAUCCUAAAAAGCUUCGAAUCUCCGUGGGACUUUUCGGUUGUUCCCACUUCGUCACAGCUUCGAUCUUCGCUGGAUCAACCAUUAUCCCUUCUUGGUUGACCACGUGACCCAAGAAUUGGACCUCACGAAUCCAAAAAUCACAUUUGGAGAACUUCGCAUAAAGCUUCUCCUUCUUCAAAACUUCUAACACUUCUCGCAAGUGUCUGCCAUGCUCCUCCUGGCUUUUCGAGUAGAUCAGAAUGUCGUCUAUGAACACUAUCACGGAUUUAUCAAGGAAAGGAUUACAAACCCUAUUCAUCAAAUCCAUGAACGCUGCUGGAGCAUUGGUUAGUCCAAACGACAUAACCAAGAACUCGUAGUGUCCAUAUCUAGUUCUGAAUGCAGUCUUCUCGAUAUCUUGCUCUCUUACUUUCAGCUGAUGAUAUCCUGACCUAAGAUCGAUCUUCGAGAAAUAGCUCGAACCUUGCAAUUGAUCAAACAGGUCAUCAAUCCUCGGCAACGGAUAUCUAUUCUUUAUUGUUGCCUUGUUCAGCUCUCUGUAAUCGAUGCACAUUCUCAUACUUCCAUCUUUCUUCUUUACAAAUAACACCGGAGCUCCCCAGGGCGAUGAACUAGGUCUAAUGAAACCUUUGUCCAAUAACUCCUGAAGUUGCAUCAUCAGCUCCUUCAUCUCCGUCGGUGCUAAUCGAUAAGGUGCUUUUGCUAUUGGCGUGGUUCCUGGUAACAAGUCUAUUCUGAACUCCACUUGUCUAUCAGGUGGUAAUCCAGGAAGAUCCUCGGGAAAUACUUCCGGAUAAUCACACACCACUGGAAUGCUCUGCAUCACCUUCUUUUCUUUCUUAGCAUCAAUCACGAAUGCUAAAUAUGAUGUACAUCCCUUGGUCAAACACUUUCUGGCUUUCAUUAGAGAAAUGAUUCCAGAAUUCACUCUGCGUUUGUCCCCAUACACCAUAAACGAAUCUUUCCCAGGCGGGUUUACUUUAACUAUCUUCUUCUUGCACAAAAUUUCGGCAUCAUUGGCGCUAAGCCAAUCCAUUCCCAAGACGAUGUCGAAACCAUUUAGUUCGAUAGGCAAUAAUUCCUCGAGAAACUUAUUCCCAUUAAGGUCGAUCAAGACGUUUUUCAUACGAUGGCUAACAGGUACAAACUUGCCACUAGCUACUUCGACUAAUAAAGCAUUAUCUAGUCUAUCAACAGGCAAAGCUAGCUUUCUACCAAACUCAUGCGAAAUAAAGGAGUAGUUGGCUCCAGAAUCAAACAAUAUAUGAGCAGGUAAUUCGUUUACGAGAAAGGUACCUGAAGCGACAUCAGCUUCAUCUUUCGCAGCCUCAAGUGUCAUCUGGAAGGCUCUCGCCUUCGGCUUUGGUGGAAUGUUGGGCCUAGCUGCCUCCUUCUUCUUCGGACAGUCUUUCAAAAUAUGCCCCUCUUCAUUACACCCAAAACACAUCCUUUUGUUGUUCGGACAUUCAUUGGCAAAAUGUCCAACCUUUCCACACUUGUAGCAGGUCACAUCCUCGCUACAUUUCCCAAAGUGCUUUUUCUUACACUUAUCACACCACUUUGCUUCGCCUCCUUUUCCUCCAAACUUUUUCGAAUCAGAUUUCGAAAAUUUGCUCUUCUUACUGGAACCAGAUGUUCCUUCAAACUUCCUUUUCUCACCAACCUCAACCUUGACGGUGGUUCUCCCCUUGAUCAUGUUCUCCACAGACUUGGCAGCCCAGAUAGCUGCCUCUAGAGUAAGUGCCUGACGUACCGGCACCUCGUACUCCCAUGGAAGUCCCUUCGCAUACCGAUCCACCUUUGUCAGCUCGUCUGGAACGAUACGCAAGGCAAACUCCAUCUUAUCGGUGAAGUUAUUGGUGUACUCAUCCACUGACAUGCUACCCUUCGUCAAUGUCAAAAACUUGUUCUCCAACUCCAACAGAUUUUGAGCCGAGCAGAACUUGCGCUUGAACUGCACCAAGAACUCUGCCCAUGACAAUUGCAGUGGCUCAUUAGGGCUUAAGGUCUUCCCUAGAGUGUUCCACCAACGAACGGCUCCACCUCGGAAUUGUCGCACGGCAUAGAUAGUCUGCAACUUGCCUCUACAGCCACAUGUCAUAAAGGCUAACUCCAUUUCGGAGAUCCAAUCCAUAACCCCAAUCGGAUCCUCCUUUCCAUUGAAGGUCGAUGGUUUACAAGUCAAAAAGUCCUUGUACUUGCAUCCCAUUCCAUCAUUCCUUCCAUCAUGGUUAUCUUGCCUAACUAUCGGUGGGUUGGCUGGACCAACAGACCCACUGAAGUUUCCACCUUCCGAGUGCCCUUCAUUCAGUUCAGGCUCUUCCACACGAAUCGACAGUUCUUCACGAUUUUGUUGAAGCAACCGUCUAGUUUCAUCCAUCUGACGAUCCAACAUCGUCUGAAUCAUCAAUUGCACACCAGCCAUGGUUAUUGGCUCAGGUGCUGCUGCUACGACAGGUAUUGGCUCAAUCACUGGUGGUUGAUUCCUGUUUUCGUCAGCAUUUCCAACUCCACUUCUUGUUCUCACCAUUUUGAUCUACACCGAAUAAGGUGAAAUUAGAUCCUCAAUCAUGAUAGAUAUUCAAAUCAUCCUUAUCACUCCGAAACGUUUACAUGCUAGUUCUAAUAUCGUAGACGUACGCUUAGAAUCCUACACACAUAAGGUUUCUAGAUCCGGUCGGCAACAGACCAUAGAUCCGAACAAAUAAUAUCAUAUAUGGCAACAUAUAACAUUUAGCACAUAAAGCAUUUUAGGCAACUUUCCUAAAAUAAACUAGUGCUCGUGUCUAAAUCACAACAGACACACAUCUCAAAACUUCACUUAGCAUUCUAAGUUUAAGUCUAGAAAUCCUACAAAUUCCUAGUUCGCUUAAACUAAUGCUCUGAUACCAACUGUGACAUCCCCAAAAUCUCGGCCAGAAAAGACCGAUUUUCAUUUAUGCUUUUAAAUAUUUUCAGAGUAAAUCCUUUUGAUUUGAAAGAGUUGCGGAAUUUGUUCCCAAAAACAAAACAUGAUAAAACAUUGUUUACCGAAGCAUUUCAUAAAAGAAAUGUAUUUUCAUUAUAAUCAAAACUCGGGGUGUCAUGUUCCGAUACAGACCAAUAAGCAUAAACGAAUACAUUACAAGUCAUAUAACAAAUAUAAACAUAUGCAGACUUGUAAACAAAACAACUUGAUGGUUCAUCCAUCUCAUGCCCUUCCGCCACUACCUGUAAUACAAUUUAAAACUGAGUGGGUCAGGCUUGGGAGCCUGGUGAGCAUAUAGGGUUUUCAACCCACAAUAAAUAUCAUAUUUAAUUUUCACCAACCAACAAUAACCCAAUUACCCAUUCCCGUUAUUCUCACUUUAAUGUCCCUAAAACAACUAACAUAAGGGACCUAGUCUAAGAAUAUUUCAUCGGGGCGACAACACAUGCUUCGGGGGUACCUCAGCAAUAUAAGUCAAAUAAGGCAACCAUGAGGGGGAUGGAGUACAGCGAAUGAACACCCAAGUUCAUUAACACCUACAGGUGGCGAACCUGCUAAUGUUUCCACAAGACUGUCUAGAAUAGCCAGUGGUCGUCAUCUAAACUCCGCUAGAUGACUCAAUCAAACAACAACGAGGCCUCUCAUCUGUUUAUUACACACCAACUGUCUACCCAUGUUCUACCCAACAUAUUAGUAGAUAAAAAUAUACAUUUGUAUACAUAGUUUAAAGAAAACCUGUAUAGCAUGCUUUAAUCAACACAUAUAUCACAUAACAGAUGAGGCACACACACACAUAACACAUAUCUCAUAAAGAAAUAAGCAGAUCUAUAAGAUAGAAGAGAGUGAAUACUCAUUCACACAUAACACAACCAAAUAUAUACACAUAGCACGUAUUUUUAUAUAAAAUACUUCGUAUUAUUGUAUUAGAAGAAAUAACUACACACUCACUUGAUCAGAAGAUGAUCGGACAGCACUACGGCUUAUAGAAGUAGUAAUCCACAGCAGAUCUGGAAGAUCUCCUCGAAAAUCGAACUUCUCGCGGGCAGAGCUUCGACUCGGGAACCGCACUUUUCGGGAUCUUCGGGAUCUCGGGACUUGCCUCGGGGCUAGAGUAUGAUACCGGGACUUCGGGGUAGCUUCGGGGGUUUUUGCACAGAGCUUCGACACGAAAACGAGAGGGAAUUGGCAAAAAUACCCGGAACCCUCGCAUCCUAUUUAUAGGAGGCUGGAGCCUCGGAGUACGCGGGGCGUACUGCGUUACGCGGGGCGUACUGCCCAAAACGUCAUUGCUUACGUAUCCGAAGUGCUCGAGUGCGAGUGUCGACAUCCCUCGGAGUACGCGGGGCGUACUCGAGUACGCGGGGCGUACCUCGGAUCAGAUCGGUGACUCCUUCGGAUAAUGCUUCCGAAUUUUGAUUUAAAUAUAAAUACAAAAUGAUUAAUAAACUUCGGAAAUUCAUAACUUCUUCAUACGAACUCCGUUUUCGACGUUCUUUAUAUCCACGGAAAGGUGAGACCACGCUCUACGACUUUCGUUUAGACUCCGUCGGCUAAUUUUGACUUUAUUUUUAUUAAUUAUUUUUAAUAGGCCGCGACAGAAACUUUCGUUAUAAAUUCAUAACUUCUUCGUUUGACGUCCGUUCUCGCCUAACUUUUUAUCGCUUCGAUACCAACAAUGAGAUCUUCGAUUCUCAUUUAGAUUGCUUCGGCUAACAACCGCUCGAUCUCAAAUCGAGUAAAACAGGCUGUAUACCGCUAAGCCGGAACUUCGAUAAAUCAUAACUUCCUCAUACGAAGUCAGAUUUGGGCGUUCUAUAUAUAUUCGGAAACCUCGUUUCAACUACUACAACAUUAACCAAAGAUAUUAAGUUUAUUUUACACUUAAAUUUUGACGCUUAUUUUUAUUCUUAAUUAAUCAAACCACAUAAUUAAGCAAUUAAGCACAAAACACAUAAUACUCAAAUAAUACAAUCUUAUUAUUUCAAAACGGGUUACAAAGGUUAACCUAGACUAUUACAUUGCUAAAAAUGGCAAGCCCGGAAACACAGGCGUUACAAUUCUCUCCACCUUAGAAUGAUUCCGUCCCCGGAAUCACACAUCAACAAACAAAUGCGGAUAGCGACUCAACAUGUCACUCUCCGUCUCCCAGGUGAGAUUCGGCCCAUUCGUGUGUUUCCAUCGGACAAGCACUAACCCAACCAUUUUGCGUCGCAACUUCUUAGUCUUUCGGUCAACAAUUGCCUCUGGUUCUUCAAUCAACCUUUUGUUCUCAUCAAUUCUCAAUUCAGAAAUUGGAAUUAUAUCGGGAACUUCUCCCGUGAACUUCCUCAAAUAACACACAUGAAAAGUGUUGUGAAUUCCAUUCAGUUCUUCGGGUAAUUCGAGCUUGUAAGCUUGGUUCCCAAUCCUCUGAAGAACUUUAAACGGUCCAAUAAACCUUGGACUCAACUUUCCCCUUUUACCAAAUCUUAUAAGUCCCUUCCACGGCGAGACUUUAAGCAAAACCGAAUCCCCAACCUCAAAAGUUAUCGGUCUCCGCUUCUUGUCAGCAUAGCUCUUUUGACGAUCCUGAGCUGCUAACAUUCUUUCCCUAAUUAUUUUCAACUUUUCAGCAGUUUGAUGAACCAACUCCGGUCCCAUAAACUGCUUUUCCCCAGCCUCAAGCCAACAAGACGGCGUACGACACUUCUGUCCAUACAAAGCUUGGUAAGGUGCCAUCUUAAUGCUCGAGUGGAAACUAUUAUUAUAGGAAAAUUCUACCAACGGUAAAUGUUCAUCCCAAUUACCUAGGAAUUCCAGAGUACAUGCUCUCAGCAUAUCUUCAAGUGUUUGUAUCGUUCGUUCGCUCUGACCAUCAGUCUGCGGAUGGUAAGCUGUACUUAAACACAACUUGGUACCCAAUUCCUCUUGUAGACUUUUCCAAAACCUCGAUGUGAAACGGCUAUCACGAUCCGACACAAUCGUUAACGGAACACCGUGAAGCCUCACAAUUUCCUUCACGUAAGAAUUCGCAAGCUUCUCCAUAGACCAUUUCUCCCUGGCCGCUAUGAAAUGCGCACUCUUAGUGAAUCGAUCAACGACCACCCAAAUCAUGUCGUGACCAUUCUUUGUUCUGGGCAGUUUAGUGACAAAAUCCAUAGCAAUGUCUUCCCACUUACCCAUAGGCACAGGCAAAGGUUCUAAACUCCCGUACGGUUUCUGAUGUUGUGUCUUGACUCUCGCACAAGUCACACACUCGGCCACAUACUUUGCAACAUCAAGCUUCAUCGUCGGCCACCAGUAGUAGGGUUUCAGGUCCCUAUACAUUUUAGUGCUACCCGGAUGAAUCGAGUACAUGGUCUUGUGAGCUUCUUCCAUCAGAAGAUCUCUGACUCCUCCUGUCUUAGGUAUCCAAAUCCGAUCUUGGAACACCUUCAGUCCAUGACUGUUUACACCGAACACCAACGUUUUGCCCAAACGUUCCUCCUUUCUGUCAUUCUUCUCAGAAGCUUCGCUCUGAGCUUUCUUUAUACUUUCCAAAAUAGUUGAGACAACUUCAAUUCUCAACGCUCUUGGCCUUUUCCUUUCGGGAUUGACUUUCCGACUGAGAGCAUCAGCAACAACAUUAGCUUUACCGGGGUGGUAAAGUAUCUCGCAGUCAUAGUCUUUAAGUAAUUCUAGCCAGCGUCGUUGCCUCAUAUUCAAUUCUUUCUGAUUAAAGAGGUAUUGGAGACUCUUAUGAUCAGUGAAAAGUUUGCACUUCGUGCCAUAGAGGUAAUGCCUCCAUAUUUUCAGAGCGAAAACUACCGCUGCCAACUCCAAAUCAUGAGUCGGGUAAUUCUUUUCAUGCUCUUUCAGCUGUCGAGACGCAUAUGCUAUCACCUUUUCUCUUUGGGUCAAAACACAACCCAAUCCAACACCAGACGCAUCGCUAUAGACAGCGAAGUCUUCAACUCCAUCGGGUAGAGAAAGUAUCGGUGCCUCGCAUAGCUUCUCCUUUAGCUUCUCAAAUGCUUCCUUAUGCUUCUCACCCCAAGCAUAAGUAGCUCCUUUGUGGGUCAAAGCUGACAAUGGACUAGCGAUCGAAGAAAAGCCUUGGAUAAACCUUCGGUAAUAUCCGGCUAAUCCUAAAAAGCUUCGAAUCUCCGUGGGACUUUUCGGUUGUUCCCACUUCGUCACAGCUUCGAUCUUCGCUGGAUCAACCAUUAUCCCUUCUUGGUUGACCACGUGACCCAAGAAUUGGACUUCACGAAUCCAAAAAUCACAUUUGGAGAACUUAGCAUACAGCUUCUCCUUCUUCAAAACUUCUAACACUUCUCGCAAGUGUCUGCCAUGCUCCUCCUGGCUUUUCGAGUAAAUCAGAAUGUCGUCUAUGAACACUAUCACGGAUUUAUCAAGGAACGGGUUACAAACCCUAUUCAUCAAAUCCAUGAACGCUGCUGGAGCAUUGGUUAGUCCAAACGACAUAACCAAGAACUCGUAGUGUCCAUAUCUAGUUCUGAAUGCAGUCUUCUCGAUAUCUUGCUCUCUUACUUUUAGCUGAUGAUAUCCUGACCUAAGAUCGAUCUUCGAGAAAUAGCUCGAACCUUGCAAUUGAUCAAACAGGUCAUCAAUCCUCGGCAACGGAUAUCUAUUCUUUAUUGUUGCCUUGUUCAGCUCUCUGUAAUCGAUGCACAUUCUCAUACUUCCAUCUUUCUUCUUUACAAAUAACACCGGAGCUCCCCAGGGCGAUGAACUAGGUCUAAUGAAACCGUUGUCCAAUAACUCCUGAAGUUGCAUCAUUAGCUCCUUCAUCUCCGUCGGUGCUAAUCGAUAAGGUGCUUUCGCAAUUGGCGUUGUUCCUGGCAACAAGUCAAUACGGAAUUCCACUUGUCGAUCAGGCGGUAAUCCAGGAAGAUCUUCGGGAAAUACUUCCGGAUAAUCACACACCACUGGAAUAUUCUGCAUCACCUUCUUUUCCUUCUUAGCAUCAAUCACGAAUGCUAAAUACGAUGUACACCCCUUGGUCAAACAUUUUCUGGCUUUCAUCAAUGAAAUGAUUCCAGAAUUCACUCUGCGUUUAUCUCCAUACACCAUAAACGAAUCUUUCCCAGGCGGGUUUACUUUGACUAUUUUCUUCUUGCAUAAAAUUUCGGCGUCGUUGGCGCUAAGCCAAUCCAUUCCCAAUACGAUGUCGAAACCAUUAAGUUCGAUAGGCAAUAAUUCCUCGUGGAACUUAUUCCCAUUCAGAUCAAUUAAGAUGUUUUUCAUGCGAUAGCUAACAGGUACAAACUUGCCACUAGCAACUUCGACUAAUAAAGCAUUAUCUAGUCUAACAACAGGCAAAGCUAGCUUUCUACCAAAUUCAUGCGAUAUAAAGGAGUAGUUGGCUCCAGAAUCAAAUAAAAUUUGGGCAGGCAAUUCGUUAACGAGAAAGGUACCUGAAGCGACAUCAGCUUCAUCUUUAGCAGCUUCCAGUGUCAUCUGGAAUGCUCUCGCCUUUGGCUUUGGCGGAAUGUUGGGUCUAGCUGCCUCCUUCUUCUUCGGGCAGUCCCUCGACAUAUGACCCUCCUCACCACAACCAUAGCAAACUUUCUUUGUGAGGGUACACUCAUUGGCAUAGUGCCCUGGCUUUCCACACUUGUAGCAUGUGUUCGCCACCUCACAUCUUCCAUGAUGCUUCUUCUUACAUUUGUCGCACCAUUUCGCUUCACCUCCACCUCCCCUCGAACCAGACUUCGAGAACUUGUUUUUCUUGUUGGACCCUGAAGUUCCAUCGAACUUCCUCUUUUCUCCAACAUCUAUUCUUUCCAGACCCUUUUCCUUCUGCUGGGCCUCCACAUUCUUAGCUGCACGAACAGCCGUUUUCAGAGUGGUUGCCAUUUUGACUGUCGGACCAAAGUCAGCAGGCAGUCCGUUAGCAAACCUCUCAAUCUUGGAGAGUUCCGUUGGCACUAGGUACGGAAACAACUUCAUCUUCUCAGUAAAUGCAGUAGCAUAGUCAUCUAUGCUCAUCUUCCCCUUCUUUAAGUUUUGAAACUCAUUGUUCAGAUCAAUCAGAUCUAUCUCCGAACAAUACUGCACCCUUAACUGUUCCAAGAACUCCUCCCAUGACAUUUUCAGGGCUUCUCCUCGUGGCAUAGUAUCUGCCAACAACUUCCACCAACUCAAGACUCCAGUCUUCAGUUGUCUAACCGCAAAGACGGUCUUCUGUUUGUUGCUACAGUCGCAACUUUCAAAUACCAUCUCCAUUUCGGAGAUCCAAUCCAUUAUCUCAACAGGCUUUGGGCUCCCAGAAAGACUUGGCGGUUUGGCGCCCAAGAAAUUCUUGUACAUACGCCCAUCCUUGUUGUUUCUCCUUUCUGGAUCGUUCCUUCGUUCCUCUUGAGUCCCAACUUGACUCACCAUGCGACUAUUGUUCCCUUCCUCCGAUUGCUCGGGAAUCAAUUCAGGUUCCUCAAUAGGUAUGACAGGUUCAUCCCUAUUAUUAUGCAACAUUUGUCGCAUCUCCUCCCUUUGUUCGGCUAGCAUAGCCCGAAUCAUGGCUUGCACCGCAGCCAUUGUUAUUGGUUCUGGUGCUGCUGCUACAACAGGUAUUUGCUCAAUCACUGGCGGUUGAUUCCUGUUUUCAUCUGCGUUUCCAACGCCACUCCUUGUUCUCACCAUUUUUGAUCUACACACCGAAUAAUUUCACCUUAUUACUCCAAACGAUUACAUGCUAGUUCUAAUAUCGUAUACAUACGCUUAGAAUCCUAAACACAUAAACCUUCAGAUCCGGUUGGCAACAAACCGUAGAUCCGAACAAAUAAUAUCAUAUAUGGCAACAUAUAACAUUUAGCACAUAAAAGCAUUUUAGGCAACUUUCCUAAAAUAAACUAGUGCUCGUGUCUAAAAUCCAACAGACACACAUCUCAAAAUUCCACUUAGCAUUCUAAGUUUAAGUCUAGAAAUCCUACAAAUUCCUAGUUCGCUUAAACUAAUGCUCUGAUACCAACUGUGACAUCCCCAAAAUCUCGGCCAGAAAAGACCGAUUUUCAUUUAUGCUUUUAAAUAUUUUCAGAGUAAAUCCUUUUGAUUUGAAAGAGUUGCGGAAUUUGUUCCCAAAACAAAACAUGAUAAAAUAAUAUUUAUCAAAGCAUUUCAUCAAGAGAUGCAUUUCAUUAUAUAAUCAAAACUCGGGAUGUCAUGUUCCGAUACAGACCAUAAAGCAUAAACGAUAAACAUUACAAGUCAUUCAACAAAUAUAUACAUAUACAGACUUGUAAACAAAACAACAAGAUGAUCCAUCCAUCUUACGCCCUUGCGCCACUUCCUGUAAUACAAAUAAAACUGAGUGGGUCAGGCUUGGGAGCCUGGUGAGCAUAUAGGGUUUUCAACCCACAAUAAAUAAAUUAUAUUUAAUUUCACCAACCAAUCACUAUCCCGAUUACCCAUUCCCGUUAUCCUCACUUUACGUCCCUAAAAUAACAUCUAUCUCAAGGGACCUAAUCUAGGAUUUUCAUCGGGACGGACAUCACUGCUAAGGGGUUUCCUCAACAAUAGAUAUCCUAAAGGCAACCAUGAGGGGGAUAGAGUACACCGGUGAACACAUCGUUCACAACACCUACAGGUUAUGAACCUGCUAGCGUUCCACUGGACUGUCUAGAAAGAGUCUGUGGUCGUUAUCCAUACUCCGCUGAAUAACUAGAUCAACAACAACAACAACAUCGAGGCCUCUCAUCUGUUUAUUACACACCAACUAUCUACCCAUGUUCUACCCAACAUAUUAGUAGAUAAAAUAUAUACUUUCAUACAUAGUUUGAAACCUGUAUAUCAUUUUCAUUCAAUAUAUAUUCCACAUAACAGAUGAGGCAUACCCACGUAACACGUAUUUCAUAGAAAGCAAUUCAGAUCUAUGAGAUGGAAGAGGGUGAACAUACAUUCACACACAUAACAACAAAUUCUAUACAUAACACGUAUUUCAUAUAAAAUACUCCAUAAUCAUGUGUUAGAAGAAAGUAACUACACACUCACACAUAUAAACAACAAUAUACUUAAUACACUCGAACCAUACUUGUAUUAUUAUCGUGUUUAUGAAAGGUAGUAUACACUCAUUUGAUCAGAAGACGAUUGGACAACACUACGACUUGCAGAAGUAGAAAUCCUCAGCAGAUCUGGAAGAUCUUCACAAAAAAUCGAACUUCUCGCGGACAAAGCAUCGGCUCGGGAAUCGCACUUCUCGGGAUCUUCGGGAUCUCAGGACUUGCUUCGGGGCUCGAGAAUAAUACCGGGGCUUCGGGGUAUUUUUUGGCACGCAAAUCCAUGCAAAACGGGAAAGAGAAGAGAGAAAAGAGCAAAAGAACUCGGCUGCCCUCGCAUCCUAUUUAUAGGAGGCUGGAGCCUCGGAGUACGCGGGGCGUACUGCUCCGAAAUCGUCACUGCUUACGUAUCCGAAGUGCUCGAGUGCGAGUGUCGACAUCCCUCGGUGUACGCGGGGCGUACACGAGUACACGGGGCGUACUUCGGAUCAGAUCGGUGACUCCUUCGGAUAAUCAUCCGAAUUAAAGAUUAAAUUAAAGAUCAUCCGGAUAAUCAUCCAAAUUUAAAUACUUCUUCAUACGAACUCCGUUUUCAACGUUCUUUAUAUCCACGCGAAGGUGAGACUACGCUCUACAACUUUCGUUUAGACUCCGUCGGCUAAUUUUAACUUUAUUUUUAUUAUUUAUUUUUAAUAGGCCGGGACAGAAAAACUUCGUUAUAAAUUCAUAACUUCUUCGUUUGACGUCCGUUCUCGCCUAACUUUUCAUCGCUUCGAUACCAACACCGAGACCUUCGAUCCUCGUUUAGAUUGCUUCGGCUAAAACCCGUUCGAUCUCAAAUCGAGUAUUUCAGGCUGCAUACCGCUAAGCCGAAACUUCGAUAAAUCAUAACUUCUUCAUACGAAGUCAGAUUUGGGUGUUCUAUAUAUAUUCGGAAACCUCGUUUCAACUACUACAACAUUAUCCAAAGAUAUCAAGUUUAUUUUACACUUAAAUUUUGACGCUUAUUUUUAUUCUUAAUUAAUCAAACCAGAUAGUUAAGCAAUUAAGCACAAAACACAUAAUACUCAAAUAAUAUACUUCUAUUAUUUCAAAACGGGUUACAAAGGUUGACCUAGACUAUUACAUUGCUAAAAAUGGCAAGCCCGGAAACACAGGCGUUACAGGAUCCCAUGGCUAUUCAGCAGGGAAAGACCACGGGGGGAGCCCAUGGUACUUGGAUAUAAUACCAUGUAGAGGAGCCCAUGGCUGUCCAGCAGGGAAAGACCAUGGGGGAGCCCAUGACAUCCUGGAGUAAGACCGUGGGGGAGCCCACGACAUCAUUGUCACACCCCCGAACCAGACGGUGGAAAUGUCCGGGGGCUUGUGCGUGACUUCAUCUUGUAAUAUCAUCACAAUGUAUAUAAUUGAAACAAGACAAUACCAUCAUCAUAUAUAUCAAAAUACAACCAAAAUUGUGUACAUCAAGUAUAGUAUUAUAAGUUACAUGCCAAAAUGAAAGUUCAAUGUACGAUGAUAACAAAAACACAAUAAUUUCCACAUUCCAUGCUGACCUUUCUGCUUAUCGAUUCUGUGAGAAUACAAGUUAUUUUGAAAACGUCAACAUAUACAAUGUUGGUGAGUUCAUAAGCAUGUUUGAAUGAAAGGUUUUGAAUAGUUCAUAAAACACCAGAAAAUCCGAUAUUUUCUGUAAGUAUUUUGAAAGUAAUGUUUCAAAAUCAAGUAUUAGUGCAUGUGUGUUUGCUGCUUUUGGAAUGUAUAGAUAAACAAAAAUGUAAUCCAGAUAAAGAUCAUGUAUUUUCUGGUGUACGUAGAAGGAAAUGUAUAAAUGUAUUUAUCCCAGAAAAUUCGAUAUUUUCUGCUUAUAAAAGUAUCGUAAUCAUAAAAUCCCAAGACCGAGUAUCGAUGUAUGUAUGUUUUUAGUAUCGUCAAGAUUGGUAUAAAUAUACCGAAAUCUUUGAUGGAGUUAGUCUCUAAGUUAUAAUGACUAAUUCGCCUGUCUUAGCGUUUUCAAGCGCCGGUUUUGAUGUAGGUAAGGUUUGUCACCCUAGACUGGCCUAGUCUAGCUCUAGUGAACAGUGAAUGCGUGGGGGGUCACCCCGUACAUAUCUAUACACAAACUCCUGCUCUCCCUCCAGGAGAAUCUUGUAAUAACUACAAGCUACGAUCAUACACUCAAAGGUAUCAACCGACAAGUCUCACUAUAUUCUCAACUUGUUCACUAGUAAUGUAUUUCACCAAGUAUAAUGUUUACGUGUACCUUUUAAGUUUUCAAAUCCAAAAGUAUGUAUAUGAAUAUGUGAGGUUCAAUGGAUAUGUAGAGGGAUAGUUAAGAUCCACUUAGCAUGUGAUUUUCAGUCCAAGCCUAAUUAGCAUGUAAAUGGACCACUAAGGCCCAAUAAACAUGUAAAAGGGUAAUUUAAGCCCAAUAGGCAUGUAAAUAGACCACUAAGCCCCAAUAAACAUGUGAUCCAUAGUUCAGCCCAAAUUAACAUGUAAAUGGGCCACAAGGCCCAAUAAACAAGUCACGAAAGGUAUUAGGCCCAAUAUACACUGAAAUGGUCCCCUAAGGUCCAUUGGCCAUGUAAUGAGAGUAUUAGGCCCAAUAAAAUUGUUAUCAAUGUAUUUCGUCCAUUCGCUAGUAUUUCGUUGUUUGUUUUAGUUCGAGUUUUUACCAAGACACCCAAUAAUAUCUAAUUUUUGUAAUAGUGAUCAUUUUGGCCCACUAGGCCGAAAAUAAACAUUUUAGUAACAAUGUUUUUGGAAAAUUUGACACUUUAGAUCCCUUAGGACUAAAAGUCUUCAAUUUAUGGGCUUAAUUCAAAUAUAAUGACCAUUUGUGGCCUAUUUUGGGUAAAAUUUUAUUUUCGGCCAAGAAUUCAUAAAUAUUUACAAUUUCGGCCCAAUUAAAUCUAAUUUAACAUUUUUGACCCAAAUACAUCAAAAUGAGCAUUUUUUGCCCAAAUAUAUAUAAUUUGCUAUUUUCUACCCAUUUCUACAAAAAUUACAUUUUAAGCCCAUUUUUUAUAAAAAUGACAAUUUCAGCCUAUUUUUUUAUAUAAAAAUAUAACUUUGGCCCAAAUUCGAGAAAAGUGACAUUUUCAGCCCCUAUAUCUGUAUAUUUACAUUCUCGACUCAAAUUUACUUAAAAUGACAUUUUAGUCCACAAAGACUAAAUUUUUUACAUUUUAAGCCCAUGUAAACAGUCAGGCCCAUAAGGUGGCCUAUUAUGCGGAAAAUUACACUUUUGACCCUUUUAAAGUCAUAAAUAUCAUAAUGACCGAUUUUUAAAGUAGUUUGACUCUUAUGACACUUGUAAAAAGCGAAAAUGCCAAGGAGGACUUAUCUUUUUGGUUAUUUGUUAAAAGUGGUCCUUUUUCAAGAUUUUGUUAAGUUUCUUAUGAAUCUUCACAUUUUUAACACAAUUAUCUUCAUAGUAAGUUGUGUAAAGUGUUUUAGUUCAUAAUUAUCACAAUUUUUUGAUAGAGUUUUCGAGAUCUAUAAUGUUUCAUCACAUAAUCACAAUUUAAAUCAAGAAACACACAUAGGCAUGCAUAAAUACAUAGAUCUAGCACAUUUCAACUUGUAUCCUCCCCCAAAACAUAGUAAAACCGAAAAUAAAGGGGUAUGAACUCACUUUGCUUUGUUGUUCUCGGUUUGAAGAAGAAAUGGAAGAAGAUGAUGCGAUUCUCGGCCCUAGCAAGCUUCUUGAGAGAUUUUUGGGAUUAGAUGGGUUCUAAGAAGCAAGAUCACAAUAUGACAUGAGUUAAGAGGAGAUUUUUGUAGUAAUCAACAAAAUAAACCAUGUAUCUAAGCAAAAACUUACCAAGGAUGAUAGUAUUGGUGAAGAAUCCUCUUGAAAGCACCCACAAAUCCUGAAAUUUUGAUUGAAGAAGGAGUAGUUCUAGAGAGUGUUUUGAAGUAGCUUGAAAUGAGAAAAUCGAGGUGGGUGGUGGGUGUCUCGGCCGUGAGUAGAAGAAGCGGGGAAGAGGAGAGAGAUUUGAAGUGAUGUUCAAUGGAAAUCCACCAUGCAACAAUGAGGUGUCAACGGUGGAUAAUCCGUUUUUUUAAAUAACUAUAUGGGCCGAGAAUGGGCUAAGAGGAAGGAGGAUGAAAUGGUUUUGGGCUCUUUUUUCUUGGCUUGCUCGACUAUAUGAAGCUUAAUAAUAUUUUUCGUCCUAUUGGGCUCUUAAGGUGGUUCACGGCCCAAUAUGAUAUAAAGGAAUGGGUUUAUGGCUCAUUAGGGCUAAUUAAUUCAUAUAUGGCCCAAUAUGGCCCAUCAGGGUUAGAAUGAAUCAUUCUAGACCAAAUGGUCCAAAAUUUUAUAGAUUUAUGAAUUGGGUCCAUUUAGAAUCCAAUUAGGGUUUCUAAGCCUAAAAUAGUCUAACUGAAGAUUUAUUGGCCCAAAAGGCCCAAUAAGAGGAUCCUAGUCCAUGAUAAAUUUGAACCGGGAUUUCUAGGGUUUCCAACCCUUAGUUGAACAUGAGAGAUGUGUUUGAAUGGGCAUUGAGUGAUUUUCACUUAGGGUACAUGCUUUACAAUAGUUGAAUCAUUACACGAGAAUAGAAUUUCCUAGCUAAGAUGCUAGUUGUGAAAAUCCUUAUAUGUAUAUUCGCAUUGUUUAUGUGAUAUGUAGUAUACUAUUUGUUUAUGUGGUAUGUGUUAUACUAGUUGUUUAUGUGAUGUGUGAUAUGCUAGUUGUCUUUAUGCUACUUGCAUGGAAGACCUUGGGGGAAGCAUGUGGCAGUUGGAUAUAAGACCAUAUAGGGUAGCCCAUGACAUUCCCAGGUAGAGACUAUGUGGGGUAGCCCAUGACAUGAUGGUAUAAGACCCUGGGGGGAGCCCACGACAUCCUUACAUGUUAUGUAUGCAUGGCAGUUGUGAUUGAUAUGGAUUAUGUGCUGUUAUAGCUGAUACAUAUUAUGUGAUUAUGUGGAUUUUGUGGAUAUGCUCUGGGGAACUCACUAAGCUUCGUGCUUACAUGUUUGUUUAUGGUUUCAUAUAUCAUCGAUUUGGAAAAGAUGGGCUCGGAUUGAUUGCAGCGCACACACAUAUGAUUUCCGCAAUAUAUGAUUUUGGGGCGAACUCUGAUGAAUGUUUUUAAUUAAUCAUGUUUUUGGAAUUUUUAGAUUUAAAGAUAUAUAUACGUUUUGACUGUAUCGGAAAAUGAAAAUUUUACCCUUGAUUUUUGGGUCGUUACAUUUAAGAGAAAAACGAGUUGAAGCAGUGUAUAUAAUCAGCCCGAGCCUGAAUGAUGAUUUCCCAAAAUACCCUUACUUAUUUGUGUUAUGAGAUAUUUAUGAGAUGUUAGGGAUGCAUGCUAGAGGAUAGGUUAGGUAUAUCAUAUUUAAGGCUAGAGUUGCCUAAUUUGUGAUGCCUUAGCCUAGGAAUUUGUAACAGCCCGAAAUACAGGGUAGCUUUAUAACCCUUCUAUUUUGGAGAAUGGCUAGAUUAGUCCCUUAAAGUGAAAUAUGUAAUGGGUGAGUACGUUGGGCGUACUGGGGGUAGGAAUGGCAACGGGGCGGGUUCGGGGCGGGGCAUGGAUUUCCAAACCCGCCCCGAUAACUUUCGGGUAUCUUAUCGGGGCGCCCCAUUGGGUUUCGGGUUUCCCCGUCGGGUUUCGGGUAUCUUAUCGGGUUUACAACAAUUGAUAACGAAAUCUUUAUUCUAUUUUAGGGUACCCCAAUGUCUUAUAAAAUAUACAUGUUCUAGCAACUCUUUUAAAUUAAAAACAUGAUGCAUCACUUUAAUAAAAUAAACUGGACGUUAUAUUAAAAAUUAUUUGAUUUAAGUUUUUUUUAAUACGUCAAAACACAUAAAAAUGAUCAUUAACACCAGAUUGUUAAUAAUUAAAAAAUUGUNNNNNNNNNNNNNNNNNNNNNNNNNNNNNNNNNNNNNNNNNNNNNNNNNNNNNNNNNNNNNNNNNNNNNNNNNNNNNNNNNNNNNNNNNNNNNNNNNNNNNNNNNNNNNNNNNNNNNNNNNNNNNNNNNNNNNNNNNNNNNNNNNNNNNNNNNNNNNNNNNNNNNNNNNNNNNNNNNNNNNNNNNNNNNNNNNNNNNNNNNNAUAACCCACUCCCUGCCCCGAACCCGAUAAAAAACCCGAUAACGACCCGUUACCCGACCCGAAAUGAUCGGGUUUCGGGUUUCCCCGUCGGGUUCGGGUUUUUUUGCCAUGACGAACUGGGGGUACGCUGCGCGUACUCGCGUGCUUAAUUUGUACGCGAGUCAUCCGGGUAUGCUGGGCGUACCCAAGGUUACGUCGGGCGUAACCUGCCUAGAUGCAAAACCCGAAUUUGUGGCCUUGCACUAUAAAAGGAACAUGUAGUCCUUUGCCCUAGCCACCAUACACCCUUGAGUGAGUCCUUGGAGAGCUGAGAUUCAUGCUUUAGCUUGUUUAUGAGUUUUUGAGCUUGAAGUUGUCUUUUCAAGGUGAAGGAAGAGAAGAAGAAGCCAUUGUUGGAGCUAGGAGUUAAAGAACAAGUGUAGAUCCGAGUUUUAAAGUGGGUGGAGAUCCUUCCUGAGGUAAAAAGCUCAAAGAUUUCCUUGUUCUUCAUAAGUUUUUCUUGUUGGAGCAUUUUUAGUGUUUUGGGUUCAAAGUUGGAGACUUUAUGUGCAAGGAGUCUCCAUAAGCUUAGAUCUGACCAUUUCUAGUGUAAAAUGUGUUGAGGAGUCAUAAAAAUCGAGUCUUGAACAUGGAUCUUGUGGCAUGCAUGAGUUAUAGUCUCAUUAUGGAAAGUGGAAAGGUGUUUUGAGCACAAAGUGACCCUUACAGCCAUGCAAAGGCUUAAAGGUUCCAACUUUAUGGUUUAAGAUAUAGUAGAGCAGUCAGAUCUGAAGUUUGGAUGAAAGUCUUAACCAUUUAAGACCUGAAUGUGUUGGAUAAAGAAACUGGGCAUUACGCCGGGCGUAAUCCCAGUAUGCACCGCGUACGGGGUUGCGUACCCCAUUUCUGGAAUGCAAGAGUACGCACAGCGUACUGCUUGCUGUUGACUUUUCUUGACUUUUAGGGUUUUAGUCAACAUGUGGAUUUUUGGUUCAGGGAGGGGUAAAAUGGUCUUUUACCCUUUUGUGGAAUGUUAGAAAGGAAAAUAGUAUAGCCUUGAAAGCCGUUAAUGAUUUGGAAUAAUUAUUUGAUGUGAUUAGGAGAGGCUAGGUUGUUGUUGCAAGAUUCAGAGAUUUCGAGCACGUGUGACACUAGACAUCAUACGAGGUGAGUCUUCUCACUAUACUGUACCUGGAAGGGUACCUGUGUGUGACCGGAAGGUCUGGUAUGUUAUGAGAUAUAUGCAUCAUAUGAGUUGCCUGUUUUGUUUGCGUUAUGUAUGUCAUUUGCAUGCUAUGUUGAUAUGGGCCGGAAGGCAUUAGGAUGUGGACCGGAAGGUCGACACGGGUAAGACCGGAAGGUUUACCGGGUUGGGACGGAAGUCCCCUGAGAUGCAUGGGCUGGAAGGUCAUGGCCUGGAAGGUCAUGGCCUGGAAGGGCAUAUGUGUAUAAGUGGUAUACUGGCGAACUCACUAAGCAUUUAUGCUUGUAGCUGCUGUGUUAUGUGUUUCAGGUGCUAGAGAGGACCGUGGGAAGGCGCUGACAUGACUCGUACACACAAUCGCAGGCGGAUUUGGAUUUAGUUGAUCUUGGGAUUUGAAAUGUUUUGUAUUAUGACUACGUUACAUUGGAUUCUUAUGGUUGGUUUGGAAUGAAAUCAUGUUUUUAAGAAAUGAAAAAUUGUUUUGAAACAUUUCGUUGUUAGAAGUUGGUAUUAGAGCCUUCGUUUGAGGGACUCGGAUGCACCUUUGGGUGUAUCUGAACUCAAAUCGAGGAUUUGAGUAAUUUUCAAUGAUAAAAACUAAAUUUUCUAAAAGAGCAAGAGGUUUGAGACAACCAGAUUAGAGCAGUGUGUACGGUCAGCCAGCGCCCGAACGGUGAAUCCCCAGUGCACCGUUACAUUAUGUGUUGUGAGAUAUGCUAUAUUAUUUUAUGUGUAACACCUGGUUCCUGGUACGUAAAAUUUAUCCUAGUAAUUGUCAUUUUAGCCUUGGACUCGGCGAGUUGUAGGUCCGACUCGCCGAGUAGGGACGCGGUCUGGGGGCACGUUUAAGUUGGUGACUCGGCGAGUCCAUAUUCUGGACUCGGCGAGUCACCGCUGUCUAUUGAAACCCUAAAUUUCAAGGGUUUGCACCCUAUUUAAACACUCAUUUCCGCCCCAACCUCGCCCCCAUUCACCCUCAGAGCUCCCAACAUUGUCUUUGCCCUUUUUCUUGUGAGAUUGAAGUGUUUUGGGUGAGUUCUUGAAGUUUUUUUUGAGGAGAAAGAGGAGUAGAUCAAGAAGAGGAGAAGGAGGCCAAGCAUUUUUGUGACAUCUCAACGUUUUCCUUGAGGUAUAGCUCGUUUCCCCUCUGUUUUCAAGCUUGUAGUCCCUAAUAGCUUCAUGAAAGUCCUUUUUGAGCCAUUCUUCAAGCUUGUUUGUGCUUGGUGGGUUGUAAUAAGUUGUUAGCCUUUAGAUCUAGGCAUGAUUUAGUCCCUGGAGCUUGGAUCUACUGCCUUUAUGGAGUCAUAUUGCAUGAAAGUCCUAGAUCUACCCCUUUUGGUGCACUUUGAGCCCUAAAACCUUCAUUGGUGAUUAUCUACACGUAAAGUUGGAAACUUUACGUGUAAACCAGGCCCUUGGAACCCAGAUCUAUGAUUGGCAUGGACCGGAUUCAAGCAAAAUCGCGUGUAUAGUUUUUGCAUGAGGCAGACUCGGCGAGUCAUUCAUCUGACUCGGCGAGUCGGGUCGCGAGUCCCCGGGUUGUUCCCCUUUUUGUGUUGCAAGUUGGAGUAGUGAGUCAUAGGGUAUGACUCAGUGGGUUAAAAGCCAGACUCACUCAUGAAGUCACUCGGCAAGUCAUUGCAACGACUCGGCGAGUUCACGGCAAUCUCCUUGUUUCAAGAACAACUCGGCGAGUCGCAGCUUAGAGUGUUCUUUGGAUGAAGAUGAACUCGACGAGUUGUUCAUACAAAUCGCCGAGUAGGAUGAAGGACUAUUGGCCUUGGGUAUAGAGGGAAGACUCGUCGAGUCUACGCUUAACUCGACGAGUAGAGACAGACUUAUGGUCAGACUAAAGGAAAGGGACUCGGCGAGUUGGCUAGCCAAUUCGCCGAGUCUGGUCAACUGGCAGUUGACUGUGAUUUGACUCAUGACUUGUUAAGGGUAAAUGGCCAAUUUACCUUGAGGUCGGUUAGCAGUAAUUGAUUAAGUGUUGGUGGGAAUUACAGUUGGAGGAUUUCCGAAGCAGCAGCAGACAUACCUUUCCCACACAGAUCAACAACUACUUCAAGGUGAGUUACCUUCCAGUAGCAGUGGGUCUAAGGCCACAAUGCCGGACCACCAGUAGGAAAUGUAUGAUGGAUGAUUGUUUUUGUGAUAUCAUCUAGGUUUGCUACUACCUGAUAUGUUAUAUGCUAGCAUGAUAUGUUACAUGUGAUAGUAAUAGAGUUCGGUUGUUAGGACCGAAGGGUAGUCAGACACCCCAGUUACGUAUGACAGUAUAUGAUGAUAUGUUUGCAUGCUGGCUUUUUACGUUAUAUGCGAUAGAGGUAGUAGGAGGGGAUUAGUCACCGAGUUCGGUCGUUAGGACCGAAGGGUAAUUCAGGCACCCCAGAUAUGUCUGAUAAUAUGUUAUGUUAUGAUAUAUGUGAUAGUAGCAGUAGGGGGGGUGAAAUAGUCCCCGAGGUUCGGUCGUCAGGACCGAAGGGUAGUCAGCACCCCAGAACGGCGUGACAUGGGUAGUCAGCACCCCAGAAUGGCUUGACACGGGUAGGUCGGCACCCAGAAUGGCCGUACCGGGUAGGUCGGGCACCCCAGAAAUGCCCAACAAAAUGUAUGAUAUGCGGUACAAUGGGGGAACUCACUAAGCUUCGCGCUCACAGUUUUUAGUUUUGGUUUCAGGUACCUCUUCUUCCAAGGGGAAGGAGAUGGCGCGGUAGCAGCCCAUCACACACAUGUUUUGUAUUCCACAUCAUGAGACCUUCCUGGGGAUUUGUAUUCUGACAUUUUUAUGUUAUUGUAAUGUUUUUCCAGACAUGCGAUAUCUUUAUAAAAUGUUAUGACCAGUAAACGUUUUAUUCGAAUGUUUUGCUAAAUAUAUGUUUUCAAAAAAUGAAAUUUUUGGCUCGUAUUUUGGGGUGUUACAAGUUGGUAUCAGAUCCCUGGUUUGAGGGAUUCGGACACACCUUCGGGGGUGUUUGAACUCAAAUCGAGGGAUUAAAAGAUUUUGGAUAGAGAAAAUGUUUUCUAAAAGGGCUAAGUAAAAGGGUUUUAAGAAAGAACAAGGUGUGUGAUGUGCGCGACCGACCGAGCUCAAGUAAGUAUUCCCAAAUGUACCCAUACAAGUUUAUAUAUGUUUACCAGUUUCUAUAGAACGGCAUGCUAGAAUAGGACUAAGGAUCUAGGAGUGAUGCCUUAUGUGCCUGCUUUCUGUGCUUCAGUAUAUGAAAAGUUGCAUGCUAGAAUUGAGUAGACAGCAGUAGGGUAGCCUGUUUAGGUUAUUCCUGAUAGUACGAGUUUAUCAUUGUAUGCUAGUCCAGUUUUUUUCUCUACGAGGAUAGAGCUGCUUGAAAUUGUUUCCUUUAUGACCAAAUGUUGUUGCUUUGUGCUAUGUGGGCUUUGAAGUGAUGGGAGUUAGCUGUUAGGUGAAUACGUUAAAGUCACAUGUGACCAGGGUUGAAUAAUCUCAGAGUGUUGGAUUUGACCCUAUUGCGUAGCUCUUGCUUGAGUCCUAACCGUGGUAGGGAUGAGUCCCUUACUCGAAGGAUUAUCCGAGCCUCGUCACAUGUGAUUGUAUUCAGGCGGUAGCUAAUUGGCAUCACCAAGAGGCCUUCAGCAGCUGAGGACUGGUUUGGGUGGAGUCAGAGGUUUCCUAGGGUAAGCCUAGGAUAAGAGUAACAGAGAUCAGCGGUAGUGAAAGGGACCUGGUGGAGUCACGACAGUCCUUGGAGAAGGUACAGAUAGAUGUGGAAAGUAGUAUGGGCCCGUACUACUAAAAGUAGAGGAUCCGUACCAGAAUCGAGGAACGCCAAGAUAAGACCAGGGAACUUGUAGUAGGCGUGAUCCCUCCAGAGGUAUCAGUAUCACUAACAGUUGUUAUUUCUUUUGUAUUUCAGUACAGGAGAGGGAUCGGGUUCAAGAUCAGGUUCCGAGCCAGUAGAUAAGGGGCUACGCGAGUUCAUCGCGUCNCCAAGCCAGUAGAUGAGGGGCUACGCGAGUUCAUCACGUCAGAGAUCACCAGAGGUGUCCUUGAGUCGACCCCCAUUAUCUUCGGGUCGAUCAUGGAAGGGAUAUUGGAGAUGAUGGAGGAUCACCUCCGGGCAUUCAGGAGUGACAUGGCAUUUGGCCAGUCAGGAUCCCGCACACUGUCCUUCAAGGACAUUGUGGGCAGUGGUGCGCUGGAUUUUCAUGGGGCGAAGGACCCCAUAGCUGCCAGACGAUGGAUUGCAGACAUUGAGUCUGCACAGACGAUUNNNNNNNNNNNNNNNNNNNNNNNNNNNNNNNNNNNNNNNNNNNNNNNNNNNNNNNNNNNNNNNNNNNNNNNNNNNNNNNNNNNNNNNNNNNNNNNNNNNNNNNNNNNNNNNNNNNNNNNNNNNNNNNNNNNNNNNNNNNNNNNNNNNNNNNNNNNNNNNNNNNNNNNNNNNNNNNNNNNNNNNNNNNNNNNNNNCGGAGACUGUGGCGGAGAUCACCGCCAAGUUUCGGGAGAGGGCAUUAUUAGUGCCCCAGUAUGCGGUUGAUGAGGACAUGAGGAGGACCCACUACCAUGACAUGCUCCGAGCUGAUAUUCAAGAGCAUGUCAUUUUUUCAGCUUGCCCUACCUUGGAAUCUAUGAUUGCCAGGGUGAGGGUGAGAGAGAUAGAUCUGGACCACGUCCGGAAGAGGAAGACUGAGGAGGGACAAACAGGAGGGGCUUCGGGGAAGAAGCCCAAGGGAUCAUAUGGUAGGCCAAAAGGCCAGUCAGGACCGAGCCGCUACAGGAAAUGCGGCAGGCCUCAUGAGGGGGCAUGUAGAUUGGGAUCGUCGGGCUGCUAUAAGUGUGGCAAGACGGGGCAUUUCAGCAGGGAUUGUACCGCCCCUGCACCUGUGAUUCAGACAUCAGAGUUGCUGUGUUUGCACUGCAACCAGAAGGGCCACAAGAAGGCCAAUUGCCCCCAGUUGACAUCAUCAGCGCCAGUUAAGGCGCCAUCUCCAGCUACCCUGCGGAUUACGGAUGACCGGCACGGCAAGGCAGAGGCUCCAGUGGUGAGGAGCCAGGCGUUUCAGCUGACAGCAAAAGAGGCACGCGCCGCACCCGAUGUGGUGACAGGUAUGAUUAUUUCUCUCUAUUUUAUUUUAUGAGGUUAUGUUAUUGAUUUGUGCUCUGUGUAUAUGCAUUAGGAUCAUUCCAUGUGAACGGUAUUCCGGUUCAGGUAUUGUUCGACUCGGGUGCCACCCGAUCAUUUGUUUCCAUUGCGCUUAGCAAGAGGUUUACUGAGUCCUCGGGCAUGUUGUAUUGCCCUUUAGAGGUAGAGAUUGCCGAUGAUCGAUCGGUGCGAGCAUCAGCAGUGUUUAGGGAUUGUGUUUUGAGGUUAUUUGAGGAGCGUUAUUUGGUGUAUUUGGUUCCCAUACUGUUGCGGGGGAACAAGGUGAUUAUAGGCAUGGAUUGGUUGAGCCCUAAUGGGGCGGUGAUAGAUUGCGCGCAACAGCUAGUGCAGGUCAGGACCCCAAGCGGGUGAGAGUUGGUGAUCCACGGCGAGAGGCCACAUUAUGGACCUAUAGUAUGUUCAGCAGCGAGAGCUAGACGCUACCUUCAGCAGGGAUACGCGGGGUAUGUCGCGUAUGUUAUGGAUACCCGGGAGACGGGUAAGAUGACAGUGAGCGAGGUUCCAGUGGUACGAGACUACGCUGAUGUGUUCCCGGAGGAGCUUCCUAGAAUACCUCCGGAGCGCCAGGUAGAGUUCAGGAUUGACCUAGUUCCUGGUGCGGCUCCGAUAGCCAAGGCACCCUAUCGGUUGGCUCCUCCCGAGAUGCAGGAGUUGUCUACGCAGCUGCAGGAGCUGCUAGACAAGGGAUUUAUUCGUCCGAGCAGUUCACCCUGGGGAGCCCCGAUCCUGUUUGUGAAGAAGAAGGACGGGUCGCACCGGAUGUGUAUAGAUUACCGGGAGCUGAAUAAGGUAACGGUGAAGAACCGUUACCCACUCCCGAGGAUUGAUGACCUCUUUGAUCAGUUGCAGGGAGCAUCUUGGUUCUCCAAGAUCGAUUUGCGUUCAGGCUAUCAUCAGAUGAGGGUUAGAGAGGAGGAUAUGCAGAAGACCGCGUUUCGGACGCGUUAUGGCCAUUAUGAGUUCGUGGUGAUGCCGUUUGGGCUCACCAAUGCUCCUGCCGCGUUCAUGGACCUCAUGAACCGCGUGUGCAGAACGAUGUUGGAUCGGUCUGUGAUAGUUUUCAUUGAUGACAUAUUGGUUUAUUCCAAGACUCAGGAGGAGCAUGAGGAGCAUUUGAGAGAGUUAUUGGAGACCCUGAGGAGGGAGAGCUUGUACGCCAAGUUCUCCAAAUGUGAGUUUUGGUUGCGCGAGGUGCAGUUUCUUGGGCACCUCGUCAAUCAGAACGGGAUUUCAGUGGACCCGGCCAAGGUGGAGGGCGUGAUGAGGUGGGAGGUUCCGAAGUCUCCAUCCGAGAUUCGGAGUUUCCUAGGAUUGGCAGGCUACUAUUGGAGGUUCAUUCAGGAUUUCUCCAAGAUAGCUGUACCCCUGAAACGGUUGACUAGGAAAGCCGUGGUCUUUCGGUGAGGGCCUGAGCAGCAGGCAACGUUCGAGACUCUGAGGCAGAGAUUGUACGAGGCGCCGAUCUUAGCCCUGCCCGAGGGCAUGGAGGAUUUUGUGGUAUAUUGCAAUGCGUCGAUCUCAGGUUUAGGCGCAGUGUUGAUGUAGAGGGGGCUUGUAUUGCUUAUGNNNNNNNNNNNNNNNNNNNNNNNNNNNNNNNNNNNNNNNNNNNNNNNNNNNNNNNNNNNNNNNNNNNNNNNNNNNNNNNNNNNNNNNNNNNNNNNNNNNNNNNNNNNNNNNNNNNNGAUGUACCAUUUACACGGACCACAAGAGUUUGAGGUACCUCAUGGAUCAGCCGAAUCUGAACAUGAGGCAGCGUCGGUGGUUGGACGUGGUGAAGGAUUAUGAUUGCGAGAUCCUUUACCAUCUGGGGAAGGCCAAUGUGGUGGCCGAUGCGCUUAGCCGCAAUGCGGCGCCGACCAGGGAUGUUUGCGUGAGGAUGACUAUGGUGACUCCCUUAUUAGAGCAGAUUCGGGAGGCUCAACAGGAGGCUAUGAAGGAGGAGCAUCGAAAGAGUGAGAGAAUAGUGGGUCAAGUCACCUCCUUUGAUUAUGAUAGUCUGGGGUUGUUGACACUACAUCGUAGGGUGUGGGUGCCGUAUCAUGGAGGCGUGCGCCAGAUCUUGAUGGAGGAGGCGCACAAAUCCCGAUUCUCUAUUCAUCCAGGGGCAACGAAGAUGUAUCGGGAUCUUCGCCUGGACUAUUGGUGGCCCUGCAUGAAGCGGGAUGUGGCAUGGUACGUCGAGCGGUGUUUGACCUGCAGGAAGGUCAAGGCCGAGCAUCAGAGACUGCACGGCAAGAUGCAGCGGUUGGAUAUCCCAUUGUGGAAAUGGGAGGAUAUUACGAUGGAUUUUAUCACCAAGCUUCCACGAACGACGCGAGGAGUAGAUUCGAUUUGGGUCAUCGUGGAUCGGUUGACCAAGAGCGCCCAUUUUAUUCUGAUUCCGGGNAGCUCCCAUUUUAUUCCGAUUCCGGAGAGUAUCUCGGCCGAAAAGUUGGCCGAUAUCUAUAUCAGGGAGAUAGUGGCGCGGCACGGGGUGCCAGUGUCAGUGAUAUCAGAUCGAGAUGUGCGGUUCACUUCCAGGUUUUGGAAGAGGUUUCAUGAUGAGUUGGGCACUCGUCUGCAUUUUAGCACCGCUUUUCACCCGCAGACGGAUGGUCAGAGUGAGCGGACCAUCCAGACUUAGGAGGAUAUGUUGCGGGUGUGCGUGUUAGAUUUCGGUGGUAGCUGGGAUACCUAUCUUCCUUUGGAUGAGUUCUUGUACAACAACAGCUAUCACACGAGUAUUGAUCGUCCCUCAUUCGAGAUGUUGUACGGUCGGAGGUGUAGGACCCCGAUAUGCUAGGGUGAAGUUGACCAAAGGGUCAUGGGGAGCACCGAGGUGGUGCUCAAGACGACCGAGAGAAUCCAGCAGGUUUGGAGGAGGCUUUAGACUGCGUAGAGUCGGCAUAAAAGUUACGCCGACAAACGUCGAUCAGACCUGGAGUUCCGGGUCGGGGAUAUGGUUCUCCUGAAGGUGUCGCCUUGGAAAGGCGUCAUUCGAUUCAGGAAGUGGGGCAAGUUGGGCCCGAGAUUCAUUGGACCGUUCAAGGUUGUAGCCCGGGUGGGCAAGGUGGCNCAGCCAGCCGAGCUCAGCCAGAUCCACAACACCUUCCAUGUCUCCCAGCUGCGGAAGUGUCUCGUGGAUGAUUCAAUGAUGGUGCCAUUAGAAGAUAUACAGGUUGAUGAUAGCCUGAAUUACAUUGAGCGCCCAGUCACAAUUCUCAACCAGAAGUCGAAUGAUCUAAGGAACAAGAGGGUGGAGCUAGUGAAAGUGCAAUGGCAGCACCGCAAGGGUUCGGAAUGGACUUGGGAGUCGGUGGAAGAAAUGAUGGAGCAUUACCCCGAGCUGUUUCAGGAUCGAGCGGCAAACUUCGAGGACGAAGUCUAAAAUAAGUGGGGGAGAUUUGUAGCACCUGGUUCCUGGUACGUAAAAUUUAUCCUAGUAAUUGUCAUUUUAGCCUUGGACUCGGCGAGUUGUAGGUCCGACUCGCCGAGUAGGGACGCGGUCCGGGGGCACGUUUAAGUUGGCGACUCGGCGAGUCCAUAUUCUGGACUCGGCGAGUCACCGCUGUCUGUUGAAACCCUAAAUUUCAAGGGUUUGCACCCUAUUUAAACACUCAUUUCCUCCCCAACCUCACCCCCAUUCACCCUCAGAGCUCCCAACAUCGUCUUUGCCCUUUUCCUUGUGAGAUUGAAGUGUUUUGGGUGUGUUCUUGAAGUUUUUUUUGAGGAGAAAGAGGAGUAGAUCAAGAAGAGGAGAAGGAGGCCAAGCAUUUUUGUGACAUCUCAACGUUUUCCUUGAGGUAUAGCUCGUUUCCCUCUGUUUUCAAGCUUGUAGUCCCUAAUAGGUUCAUGAAAGUCCUUUUUGAGCCAUUCUUCAAGCUUGUUUGUGCUUAGUGGGUUGUAAUAAGUUGUUAGCCUUUAGAUCUAGGCAUGAUUUAGUCCCUGGAGCUUGGAUCUACUGCCUUUAUGGAGUCAUAUUGCAUGAAAGUCCUAGAUCUACCCCUUUUGGUGCACUUUGAGCCCUAAAACCUUCAUUGGUGAUUAUCUACACGUAAAAUUGGAAACUUUACGUGUCAACCAGGCCCUUGAACCCCAGAUCUAUGAUUGGCAUGGAUUGGAUUCAAGCAAAAUUGCGUGUAUAGUUUUUGCAUGACGCAGACUUGGCAAGUCGUUCAUCUGACUCGGCAAGUCGGGUCGCGAGUCCCCGGGUUGUUCCCCUUUUUGUGUUGCGAGUUGGAGUGGUGAGUCAUAGGGUAUGACUCAGUGGGUUAGAAGCCAGACUCACUCAUGAAGUCACUCGGCAAGUCAUUGCAAUGACUCGGCGAGUUCACGGCAAUCUCCUUGUUUCAAGAACAACUCGGCGAGUUGUUCAUACAACUCGGCGAGUCGCAGCUUAGAGUGUUCUUCGGAUGAAGAUGAACUCGGCGAGUUGUUCAUACAACUCGCCGAGUAGGAUGAAGGACUAUUGGCCUUGGGUAUAGAGGGAAGACUCGUCGAGUCUACGCUGAACUCGACGAGUAGAGACGGACUUAUGGUCAGACUAAAGGAAAGGGACUCGGCGAGUUGGCUAGCCAACUCACCGAGUCUGGUCAACUGGCAGUUGACUGUGAUUUGAUUCAUGACUUGUUAAGGGUAAAUGGCCAAUUUACCUUGAGGGCGGUUAGCAGUAAUUGAUUAAGUGUUGGUGGGAAUUACAGUUGGAGGAUUUCCAAAGCAGCAGCAGACAGACCUUUCCCACACAGAUCAACAACUACUUCAAGGUGAGUUACCUUCCAGUAGCGGUGGGUCUAAGGCCACAAUGCCGGCCCACCAGUAGGAAAUGUAUGACGGAUGAUUGUCUUUGUGAUGUCAUCUAGGUUUGCUACUACCUGAUAUGUUAUAUGCUAGCAUGAUAUGUUACAUGUGAUAGUAAUAGAGUUCGGUUGUUAGGACCGAAGGGUAGUCAGACACCCCAGUUACGUCUGACAGUAUAUGAUGAUAUGUUUGCAUGCUGGCUUUUUACGUUAUAUGCGAUAGAGGUAGUAGGAGGGGAUUAGUCCUCGAGUUCGGUCGUUAGGACCGAAGGGUAAUUCAGGCACCCCAGAUAUGUCUGAUAAUAUGUUAUGUUAUGAUAUAUGUGUUGGAUUAGUGUCUAAGUCCAUAACUAUUUUGGUAUGUAUUUGACCCGAUGGUGCAUGGUCCUUUUGGGUUGCCUUCACCAAAGCAACUUGAUAGGAUGAAUUAUGGAGAGAAAGGAUUAAAUAUGAUUUAUUAAUAUAUUAUGGGAAUAAUAUAUUAAAGGAGAAAUCAUAUUGUUUAAUUAAUAUUAGUCAAUAAUUAAUUGGUAAUUAGUUUUGUGACUAAAAGAGAUUAAUUAAACUUAAGGGACUGGAAUUGUAAUUAUAAGAUAAUUGCAAUUUGGGCCAUGGAUUGNNNNNNNNNNNNNNNNNNNNNNNNNNNNNNNNNNNNNNNNNNNNNNNNNNNNNNNNNNNNNNNNNNNNNNNNNNNNNNNNNNNNNNNNNNNNNNNNNNNNNNNNNNNNNNNNNNNNNNNNNNNNNNNNNNNNNNNNNNNNNNNNNNNNNNNNNNNNNNNNNNNNNNNNNNNNNNNNNNNNNNNNNNNNNNNNNNNNNNNNNNNNNNNNNNNNNNNNNNNNNNNNNNNNNNNNNNNNNNNNNNNNNNNNNNNNNNNNNNNNNNNNNNNNNNNNNNNNNNNNNNNNNNNNNNNNNNNNNNNNNNNNNNNNNNNNNNNNNNNNNNNNNNNNNNNNNNNNNNNNNNNNNNNNNNNNNNNNNNNNNNNNNNNNNNNNNNNNNNNNNNNNNNNNNNNNNNNNNNNNNNNNNNNNNNNNNNNNNNNNNNNNNNNNNNNNNNNNNNNNNNNNNNNNNNNNNNNNNNNNNNNNNNNNNNNNNNNNNNNNNNNNNNNNNNNNNNNNNNNNNNNNNNNNNNNNNNNNNNNNNNNNNNNNNNNNNNNNNNNNNNNNNNNNNNNNNNNNNNNNNNNNNNNNNNNNNNNNNNNNNNNNNNNNNNNNNNNNCGAGUCUCUAGAUGAACUCGCCGAGUCCAUGCUGACUCGACGAGUCCAUGCCUGACUCGGCGAGUCGGCUCGUCAGAAGGAGGCAAAACCGGGAUUUCUUGCUGUUUUUGCUUAAGGAUAGUUGCCUUAUCAUAUUAGAUCAAUAUAAAUCCGAUUUUAUGAUAUAUUUGACUGUAUUCUUGAUCUAAUUGAAGAUAUUUAUCAAUUAAUAAAAUAUUUGUUUCCCUAUGUGAUAAUUGAUUAAUUAUUUUGAUUAAAUUGAUAAAUUGUUUUGCAAGAAAUCAUUAAAUAAAUCAAAUAUGGAUAAUUAUGUGAUUACUUGUUAAUUUAGAUUAUUUGUUAUUUGAUCCUUGUGUUAUGAAAAGUUUCAUAUUUUCCCCUUUAGGUUUUAUGGUUUAAAUUUGAACCCAAAAGUUUUGUUGUUUUGAAAUUUAAAUAGUUGAAACCAUAAUGUUUUGAAAAAGGUUUCAAAACUUGCCCUCAAGUUUUGGAAUUUAAAUUUUGAAUUAAUAGUUUAAUUUUGAUGUAUAUUUAAAUUCUAAACCCGAAUGUUUUGAAAUGUUUCAAAACUUGCCCUCAA
RNAcentral lists this long non-coding RNA (56016 nucleotides) under Lactuca sativa (garden lettuce). RNAcentral's name for it is "long non-coding RNA (LSAT_LNC004779)". The record is from RNAcentral. Lineage: Eukaryota; Viridiplantae; Streptophyta; Magnoliopsida; Asterales; Asteraceae.